CCAGCAUUUCCUAAAAUUUUCAUUUCAUCAAGACUGGUGUUCACAAUUUUUGAUAUUUUUACAAAAUAUCCCACAUCAAAUAAUAAUAUAGGAUUCCAAACUUUCAAAUCAUAUGCUACAACCAUAUUCUCAUCCCACCAACUCUUUUAACUUAACUUUCUUUGUGAAAAUGAAAAAUCACUUAUUCAGCGAUCUCAUUGCCCAACUCUUUUUCUGUUAACAAGAGAAACAAAGUUUAUAAUACAAGCAAGAAUCAAGUCUAUAGUUUUACCUAAUGGAUUAAGGAGUCACCAUUUGAAAAUCAAGUUUUUAUUUGGUUCAUGGUUAGAUGCUAGAUCCCAAAAUGUUAAUACGCAAGAAGCCCUCAGAUCUCAUACACGGUAAGGCUCAUGGUUUUCAUUAAAGGCCAGUCCACACCUUCAAAAUAAUAAUAAUAAUAAUAAUAAUUGUCAUAACACAGAGGCUGAUGAAGAAGGAGGAGAAGGGGGAGGCUAUUAAUGAAAACCAUAUAACCACACAUGAGUUUUCCAUCAUUGGGCAUUUGCUCACCACAAUGAAAAAGAUAACCACAAUUUCGGAUAUCCACCUGUGAUUCACUAGUGAUAUAAUGAGUUCAUCAAUCUAUACCAAUUGACCUUUUUAAAUAAACCCAUUCGAUGAUUCGAUUUCUUGAAAGGCAACAAGCUGAGGCAAAAAGCUUCUUGCUUAGCAGAUUGUCUGAAGUUCCAACUUGCAUAUAAACUCAUGCUCUUCAAAAAAGCAAACAUAGAUCUUUCUCAAAAGGCAAUAUUAAAAAACAAAGAAGUAAAAAUUCAGUGGGAGUGGUAAUGGCAUAUGAAAAUUUAAAACCAUAACUUUCAUCACAUGCUAAAACUGGGUUGAUCUAAAAGGAAAUGUAAGAGAAGUGAAGGACAAAAAAAAGAAAGAACCAGACAAUAACAUCUAUUGAUAGCCCUCAGAUCUCAUAGCUAUUAUUAGUCAUCGUCAGUUAUAACAAACUGAUUCUUAUUAAGAGCCUCCACAUCUUCAACCACAGUAGAAAAGAGAGAUAGAGAGAGAGAGAGAGAGAGAAAGAGAGAGGUGGUGGUGGUGAGGCUGAUGGUGAGGAUGAGAGUAAAGGCUCCUAAUAAAAAUCAAUUUAAACCCUCCACAAAAUAAGUUUUCCAUCAUCGGGCAGAUGUUCAUAUUGAUAUUAUUGUCGACUGAAAAAUCAGGAUACACCUAUAAUAAGAGAGGACUGCAUGCAAGAAAACAGUUCAUUUAUAAAAAAUAAAAAUAAAAAAACAGAAAGAAAGAUAAAAGAUGAAAUAAGAAAACCAAUUCAUAAACAAACAAAAUGUGUAAUUAUACUAAAACAAUUUGAGCUUAAAGCAGAAGUACAACAGGAAAAAUACAACAGCAGCUUAAACCUAUAAUCAGUUUGGGUGGGUCAGAUGUGUUCAGCUAAAUAAUGUUUCAAUGAUUAAAUGAAAUAGGACCAUAUGAAAAAUUAUGCAGUAUCUGCCCACCAAUAACCAAAAGAAAUAAACAAGGGCAAAUCCCAAAUAAAUAAAUUUUCAAAUCUCAAACCAUCAAUCUAAAUUAAGCUAUAGAAGUAAUAAUGCCAAGAAGAACAUCAACAGAAUACUAGAAAAAUCCAAGGAAUAAAUAAUGGAUAGGAUUAAAUGGAUGCAAUAUCCUCAAGAAAUGGACACCUGUAAAUACCACAAAAGCAAAUAGCUUACAAUUGGUCUAUAUCUUGUCAUAGCUGAGCACAUCUAUAAGAUAUACACACCACCAAAAUAACUUUAUUCUACUACAUAAUGUUGUUUAAUCAUAACAUCAACUUAUUCAAAUAUGCAAAAGGCAGUUAGUACAGUUCACCUGCUGAUCUUCAAGACUUAAACCAACCAGCACUGUACCCAUAUGAGAUAAGAAACACUCCAUUCACAUAAGCUUCCAGCACUAGUACCAUAGAAAAAUAAUACACAGUGCUAACUUCAACAUCACCCCCAUAGGCAUCGAAAUCUCAGAAAAUAACAAGACAAAACCAUUGGAUAUAACAAUAGUCUCCAAAACAAGUCUCAACUGGGCGAGUAUCAGUGAGAACUUCAUUCCCAAGAUUAAGAGCCAUUCAAAAUACUAGAAAAGCUCAAACUUCAUAUGAGACAAAAUGGGUUUUUUUUUUUUUUUUGCAAAUCAAGUUUCCAUUCGAAAAACAUAGAUAUGAAGAGUACAUUUACAUGGUUCUCAUUAACCUAAAAAGAUUGUCAACAGUUCAAUGUCUUAGAUGCCAUAUUACAAUAUAUAAACAAGUAAAGCCCUCAGAUCUCAUAGCUACCAAUAUUCAUAGAAGGUAAAGCUUGUAAUUUUCAUUAGAAGCCAAUCCACAACUUGAUAAUAAUAAGAAUGCUAACAGCAGUAGUAAGAAGAAGAAGAAGAAGAAGAAGAAGAAGAAGAUGAUGAUGAUGAUGAUGAGGGAGGCUCCUAGUGAAAACCACAGCAACCACACCAAAUAUGAGAAUUCCAUCAUAGGGCAGAUGGCCAAGAUUCAAAAGCUUUGUCAUCCAUGGUUUAUAGAAUGAAAUAGUCCAGAUAAUAAGAACAUAAAAGAGAGCAUAAUCACAAAGGAAGGAAUGGUAAGAAGAGGUCAGAAGAGCCAAAGAAGAAACGAGCAUAAAGACUCCCGCAGAAACCAUAAACAAAGCUGCUUCGGAAAAACACAUUCAGAAUUACAAGGAAGCAGAUUUCACAAUCAAUAGUAAUUGUAACAGAAGUUCUCAUUUGUUUAAAAGACAAUAAUAACACACGUUGUGCAUUAUGGGAUCAAAGAAAAGAUCAAGAAGCAACCCAUGUUAAGGACUUGCCUGACUUUUAGGGGAAAAAAAAAGGUGAUCAUAGGUACAACAAAGCACUUAAAACAGUGUAGACAAACUUGAUAACGCAACUUGGCCCCUCAAAUUUGUUGAAAAAUGGUGAGACUGAGGUUCCGACUAGUGCGUUUUUUAAUGAACCACACUGACCUCUCAAAAGGCUAUCUUAAUUAUAUAAUUCUGUGAAUAAAAAGGUCAAAACAUGCACAUAGUUAAAUUGAUCUCAAAUAAUAGCAGGAUAACAAAAUAAAGCACCCAUCACGUGUGUGACCCAUAGGAUGAAAAUCCGUUGCACCAAGUAAUUUCACUAGUCUUAACUCAGGUCGUAAGGGUAUAUUUCCAAUCAUUCAAAAAGUCAGCAACUUAAUUCAUGUAAUUGAAACUCCACCAGUAACCUAAUGACACCAAAAUAACAAUGUGAUAGUUGUCUGAUAUUUAAACCAAUCGAAAUCCAUUCUGAGGCAGUAGCAAUGAUAGAAGAAAACAUUUCAAUAGUUAUACCUAAACCCGAUUCAAAAACCAAAACACUUGAUCAAAUGAAACAAAAAAGAAAGGACGCAAUGGAUAGAAAAUCGCAAAAAAAAAAAAAAAACAUAGACAAAAAUAUACUAAAAAAGCCCUCAGAUCUCAUAGCUAUCAUAAGUCAUUGUUAGUAAAACAAACCGGUUUUUAUUAAGAGCCUUUCCACAUCUUUAUCCAUACUAAAGAGAAUGUGAAAGAUUGAGGGAGGAAGAGGAGAGAUAGAGAGAGAGAGAGAGAGAGAGAGAAAGCGAGAGAGAGAGAGAGAGAAGACAGAUUAAGAAGAAUAUGGCGAGGAUGAUAGUCAAGGCUCCUAACAAAAACGACUGCAACCCCCUCCAUAGAAUGAGUUUUCCAUCAUUGGGCAGAUGAAUUGAAAUAAUAACUAAUAAUCAGAACACCAGCCAUGAAUGCUUGUAAGAAACAAUUAUAAGUUUAAAAGAUUAAUUAAAAAAUUAAAAUAUAUAUAUAUCAUAAAAGAAAACAUAAUGAUCAAAACAAAUUGAAGACCACAAUAUUCUCCCUAUCUGAAGAUAAAUGAAACAAGACAUCAAGAUUUGUUUUCUUGGUUAAUAUUCAAAUAUGUUGACAAAACCAACAAAAACUCCAUACCAAAAAAGUAAUUGCAACAUUUAAAGGCAAAUGAUAUGAGAAGGGUGGUCAGAUACAGCUUUCUAGGCUAGCAUUUCCAUCAAUAUUACUCAGAGCCCAGUGCAUAUCAUCAUUCGUUCUAAAAAAUCAACAAAAGAAAGGAUAAAAAUGUCCAUUGAAUAAAACUCUAUUAUUCAAGAAAAAUCUUGCAACUGCAAGAUCCAUAAAAUCGACACCGCAUUUGAUGAAAAUCCUCAGAUCUCAUGCCUUUGAACAAACAAUCUAGGGUUUUGUACUCAAUCGCAUUCAUCAAAACCCUUUUCUAUAUAACACAGUAAUUCAUAAUAAAAACUAACAAACAACGUAGCCAUCCGACAGCUCCGCAGCCACCGUCGCAGGAGUCGUCAGCCCGGAGUGCGAGCAGAGGUAGAUGGGAUCAUGGGAAGAGGUAUAGAAUGACGUACGUAGGGUUUUAUCGCCCAUUUAUAGGCAGAGUUGAAUUCCUAAAAGAACCCUGGAUUUAGUCGUAAAUAUCUAGGUUCACCCGAUCUGGGCUUUUCUUUGGGUUUGGGCUUAUUUGAUAUAUCGAAAGUGAUGGGCCAGGCUAAGCUUUCGUGGGUUGUAUUAUGUUUAAAGGAUUGCAUGGGUUUGAGGUUGAUGGUUAACAAGCCCAAACUAAAGCCCAUGAAACAAAACCAUUUUUAUUUAAAAAAAGAAAACCUUAAUCCUUUUUUUUCCUUUUUUUUUCAGCUUUUUUAUAUGAUAAAUGACGAUUUUGUCUCCAUUACAUAUUUAAUCAUGUUAUAUUUUUAGGAUUUUUUUUUUUUAGUGAAUGCAACCACAAUCAAAAGAAUUUUUGAGAGUUUUAUCAUUGUACUACACAUUUUUCAUUUUAUUAAUGGAUUGUUUAGUGUUGGUGUACUCCGUAGACAUAGAGAUUACAUUGAUCAUCGAAUCACAUCAAAAUCUCGUAUUUUUCUUAAUUUUUGGUUGUGUGUGUGCAAUAAUUAAGGGGUAAAAGAACUUUCAUUAGCUUUUCCUUGCUAUUUUUGGGUAUAGAUUUAUUUUCAUUUCUAUCAAGAUUAAUUUCAUCCUUACAAUUAAAUAAUUGUAUUCAUUUUUAAAUAUCAAGCUAUUAAAAAAUCAAAGGUUUAUGAACAAAUUCCCUUUUCAAACUUCAUUUCAGUAGGGUAGUGAUGUGCUGAUGAGAAUGCGCAACCCACUAAUGAAUCCAUCUUAAGAUCCACAGUGGCAGUGUGUUAUCUCCUAAAAAGCCACUUUAGUGGCCACUGCCCACCCUACCAGUCCAUUUGCAAUCCAUUAUUUUACAAAACACUAUUGAUUUUCCUAGCAUCACUCCUCCUAGUGUAGUGCGCCACCAACCAUUUCCAUCUCUUCUUGCUCUGCAUUUCAUAAUAUUUGCAUCCAUUAGGCUGAUAACAGAGGCAACUUGUUGGGUGCAAAAGGUGGUGGUCCCAUGGCCCAUAUGAACAAAGGGUGAGUUCAUGGUUACUUGGGUGGAUUCCAUGGAGACCAGGUGGAUCCAUAAUCCCACAUCAGGUCACACUAGUUUAAUGUGAUCUCCCAUGUCCCACUGCUGAUUCUUGUCACACAUGCACACUACCAAGAAAAGGAUAAUGAAAACUUUGUUCAGGGAAUCCCAUUGAGUAUCUUGUUUUGUUUUAAGUUGUUUGAUUUGGUGAUGGUUUUGCAUAAAUGUCAAGUUCUGUUUUUAGGUAAGCUCAGUAUUUAGAGGCUGUGAUCACCCUCAUCAGUCCUCUCUCACCAUGGCCAUUGUUGGGCUGAGCCACCACCUAUGCUACAGAGAGGAUGGGCGUCUGUAUGAGCCACCAUGAGAAGCCAAGAAAGAAAUCUUCUGAGGUGCACUCAGGGCACUUCAAUUAGGCUGCCAAGCUGUGCUCACUACUCGAAAGUCUGUCAUUGAGGUUGAGCCCCAUGGCUCAGUCAGCUGCCUGCCGGGCACUACCAUGCCUUGUGAGAAAACCAAGCCAGAUGUGCUCAUAAGGAUCGCGAUCGGCCUGGUUUCUCAGGUCUGUUUCAAGUUAUGUAGCAUUCUGGUCCAAACCAUCUAUGCAGCUGAAGUUUGUAUAUAUGGCUUUUCAAGUUAUGAAAGUAUGGUGUUUGAGGGGUCCUUUUGUGUCAAGAAUUUGUUGUUACAUGUAGGUAGGUGGUGAGAACGAUUGUCCACCACAAGACGCUGUGGAUACAAAAACAGGGACCCUAUUCUUGUGUGUGUGGCAUGGCUGCCUACUUUUGUGCUAUCUAUAAAUAUAAAUCAUCUGGCCCUGGUAUUUAUCAACCAACUCACUUUCAUAGACCAUAGGGAUCAGCUACAACAAUUGGCAGUCAAAUUUCUAACAAGGAAAUGCUUAAAUGCUAGCCGGGAAAUGCCUAAAUUCCAGACUCAGCCAUAUAUAUGGCUGCCCUCUUUCCUAGUACUCUAACUUAAAUAUACUCAUUUGAUAAACCACCUUAAUGGAGAAGGUAAAGAUUUCAGGUCCUCUUACCCAAAAUUGGGUAGGCCUCCAAACCCGUAGUGUAGUUUAUCUUUCUCUACGCUUUCCCUCUUUAUGAGAUGUUUUCAAAGUUCGUACAUCAUGCCAUCGUCCAUAUAUCACCCGCAGGUUCAACCUUUUCCAAAGUUUAUUUCAGAUUGAUCUAACACGGACGUCACAAAGGCAAGAUGAUAAAUAUUUGAGGCAAAGGUUGAAAAGGAUGGAAGGAGAAAACCAAGAGCUGUGUAAAGAGCCAAAUGACCUCUGCCUCGCACGUUGUAUUGGGCCCUAAUGUAUUUGUAUCAUGAUGAAAGAAUAAGUGCUAGAGGCCCUAUCGCAGGCGGGCUUGUCGACCAAAAUCAGAAUAAGCACAAAAGCAGGUUAACCUUCACACCGUUUGGCAUCCACUCUACGGCACCCCGGUACUAAGUAUUUUUCACCUAUGACAAAUAAUUGACCAGUAGAUACAUUCCUCGGGACAAUAAUAGAACUCAUAAGUCAUAAUCAACAACAGGCAUAAAUAAUUGCUUCGCCAUCAGGAUGAGAAUAUGAAUCAAAACAAACAUUCGAGCCAGUAAACCAUGUUAUAUGAAAGGCAGACCAUGCUGGGGCAGGUUCUAAAUGUGGGGCUUGAGCAGAACUUGGAGACAUUGUCUAGCUGCACACUGGGCCAACCGUCUCUCUAUACUUCCACUUGUAGAUUUGAACCCUGUUAAACAAUAAGCCUCUUUGUCUUUCAUGGCAAUGGGCACAGAUUCAAGACAAACAAUUAGCCUAUCAGCUUCCAAACAUAAGAAGCCGGAUAUGUCAUCAUCAUCAUCAUAUCAAUCUUUUCUUAUGCUACCAGACUGAAUGUUUUGGAAGUCUAAACAGAUUCUUUAUAGGCAUAUUUUAAAAAAGGGAAAUUGAAGUUCAACAUCUGAAGGCAUUCACAAUGGCCAAAGCAAGCUAGCCCAAGAAAAAAGGAAAAGAUCCCUUUCCCCCUCCAAUGCGCACAGACAAUGUUCUGCACUCUUCAGCCUACAAUGAGAUAUAGAUGCAUUCAAGAAACCCCAUCCUAUGGAACUCUAGAAAAGAAAAUUCAUUACCAGCUAAGUGUUCUAUUCCUUACCAUGAUCUCCUUUUUUUUUUUUUUUCUUUUUCUGUUUUACUUCUAUUCACAUGCCAACUUAGUGUCGAAGCUGCUCAAGCAGAUAGCGAAAGCCUGAAAAGCAGACAGAGGAUAUCGAUAAUCCAUGGUAAACAUAUCCUUGCCAACUUUGCCAAACUGCAGAAUAAUCUUGUCAUGAUCAGAGGCUGGAGGCUGUGAUGGUGUUGGCGCACCAGCGGCCGGCUGUGUGGCAGCAAUCAGCUGGAAAUUCUUGACUGAGGCAACAGUUACCCUCCCCCGGAAGUUAAGGCACCAACAUUGCAGCUGCUCAUGCCAUCUGGGCGGCUUGUUUCGGAGAACCAGUGGUCUGUCCUUUCCCUCAUCCUCUUCAUCACGAGGCCCAAUAAUGUCUGAGAACCGGGAGCUGCUGAACUCGGUUGAGUUAUCAAUUGAUUUUGAGAAGGAGAUGCUACGGAACGAAUCUUCAAGGUUGCGAGGGAGGAGCUCAGCCUGGCCAGGCACAGUGCCACCCGGCUCAAGGGAUGAAGCAGGGAUUGAAUGCAUAGUGCAGUGCAUCCUUCGUGGCCCCCUGGUGCCUAAGACAUUCAGCUCAUAUGUGACCUGGGCAAUGUUGUAGCUGCCAGUUGGGACUUUAGGAGAAACCUUUUUCGAGUAGAACCUCCGGCUCGUUCGGCCAGGUGGGGAGAGUUGAGAACCAUUGUAUGGUGGCUGUGUAUCAUAAAUUAUGAACUUUGUGCCAAGGAAAUUUGACCUGAAACAAGGGGGAGGACAAACAAAUUUUGAGACAGAUAGAGAGUAAUUUAUGAACACAAACUAGAUUAUAGGCUUAAAACAAAAAUUGACCUGAAAUAAGGAAAAGAAGUGCAUUUCAUUCAAUUAAUAAGACGGAAAUGCAGUGAGUCCUAGAUACAAACUAGAUUAUAGACUUGAAAGCCCUCACUGGGUUAUGGUUAUAUACUCAGGAUAUACUGUACCAGCAGACAGAUCUUCUUUCCCCACUAUAGCAUGGUCCUUAAUGACCAAUAAUCUUAGUAGAAAGUAUCUUAUGUUCAUUACAUAAUUACUAUUCUUGAUUAGUAGAACUUAUCAUCGAUAUUUUGUGUAAAUGUAUAAGAAAUUAUUCUGAAAGGGUCCCUAGUUAUAACCUAUACAAGAGUUCUUGGUUUAUAAGUAAAUCCAUUCCUUCUAACUUGGGAUUUUUUGGUACAUGAAUAGUAAUGCACAGAGGUAAUUAAUUACAUCUGCAUGUUUAGUAAUUUGGUUCAAUGGCAGCAUUGCUAGGAUAAGAGACAGCCAUGAGAAAAGACACGACAAUGAUUUAACAGCUAGGACCAUAAGCAUUCAUGUAUCUUACAAGGAUAACAAUGAUUUACGGCCUUGGAUAGAACAGGUAAGUAGAAAAAAAUUCAUGUAGCCAACUAUAAGCAGCUAGGACUAAGUCUCCAUUUAGCUAAAAAAAUUGUUAUUUUGUGCAUUUGUUAUUAAAUGCUAUAUAAAUAUCAAAAGACACAUGAUUACCUCGAGAAAUAUUGAAGCCCUAAAACAAGUUCACACCUCAAUAAUUUUCAUAUUAGGAACACCAGAUGUUUGAAAUUUAAUCAACAUAUUCAAACAAAUUUGUAGUUCAAAUAUAAUAAAACUAAAAAAGGAAACAUAAAUCUUACUAUACAAUUAACACCACUUCAAUUCUGUAUAACAUAAAUGACAGGUAUAGGAUAUCAGUAUACUUUGUGCACCAACAAUAUGAUGAAUACUACAGACAAGUAUGGAAUUACAAGAACAAUGAUUUAUAUAAUAAAAAAAGACCUAACUGUUUCCUUAAAGAUUCUCAGGUAUAACAGUUGAUUUAGGAGUUUCCCAUACAUGGACUGAAAUUGAGACCUAUGCUGACAGUCUUUCACCUCAAGCUUUCUUAUGCCCAAACCCAAAUAAAUCAGAAUCUUUAGAGAUAAGGAAAGUGGACAGAAAAUUUUCAAAUCAGAACCUGGAUCCCUAGAAUGAUAUUGGAGGUGGAUUAAAGAGGACUAAUUCCAGCUACACCGUCCAAAUACGUCAUGUAGAACAGAGUGAUUUACAUGUUCUUAAGCAUUAGGAAUCCUAUUUUAUGCUUAAGAAUCAUAUCUUAGAAUCAUAAAUAGGAGGGACACACAAAAAUAUGGCAUAGUUCACAUGCCAUGAUAAAGUUGAUGGGCAUUUACUGAAUGUAAAAGAAUGGUAAGAAAAAUGGUGUAUUCAUCUACCUCAGCUUCCCAAUAUAAGUGCUGCUUGAUCUUGAUAUGUUAUCGGCAUCCAUGGAGAUUACAUAUUCUGUGCAAGUAGUUCUCCUGUUUCGUUUUGCAGACAGAAGAAAUUUCCCAUUUUCAACAAGCAAAGCUGCAAAUAUGGAACAAUAAAUCACAUAUCACAAAUAAUGGACAUUAGGAAAAGCAUUUAGUAAAGCAUUAUCUUUUUUUUAUAUAUAUAAGUAUUUAGUAAAGCAUUAUCUUAUACAGCUUAAAAGUAAGCUAGAACACUAAAACAAUUUGAUUUGUGCGUGAAAACAUAACUUAUUAUCUAGCCAUUUGCAGAAAAAUGGGAUGACUGAAAUUAAAUUAUAAAAAGAGAUAUUUUUUCUGUAAAAAGAGGAAAAUACUACCCUACUGUGACUAUGAUGUCAGAGGUAAUAAGGCUUAUAAGAACACUAAACUAAAAUUAGUUGAAAGCAUAGGAGCUGAAAUUCCAUUCCAUGCAGCACAAGUACAAAACCAAUUGCAGAAAAGAUUUGGUUGAUUCAACCACUCAAGGAAAAUGGUCUAAAAUCAUAGGAGCAUAAAUCUAUCACAUUCAGCAAAAGAGGCCAAGUUUAAGACAAGGUCAUGAUUGUUCAUCAAGGGGCAAUUUGGGAAGCCUAUACAAUUGGAAGCAAUGCACACACUUGUCAAGCAGGAUUUUCAAGGGAUUACUGUACCCCUUGCUUUUAUAUAUACAUGUAUGAAACAGAAAUUCAACAGAUUGACAUUAAUUAUGAGUUUCCAAAAAAUUAAAACCCUUAGGGUACCAUCAAAACCAUGGAAUUAAGAUUAGGCCUUCAGUGUCUACUAAUGCUAAAAAGGUACUAGCUUUACUAGUAGACAGAUGGAAUCGCAUAAGAGGCUGAAGGAGAGCAUAUAAGAAAUUGGCUUCUGAGCCUUCACUCUCAGAAGGAAGGUCUUAGAAAUAACAAAUUUCAGGUGGCUAACACAACAUUAUAAGGGCUGAUAAAUUAACGAUCAAAACUGGAAGCUCAGCCACAUGUGUAAUAUGAGCCAUAAAGAUUAAGGGCAGCACAAUUAGCAAUCCAACAUAAAAAUCACAACUAAAGCCUGAAAUCAUAAGUAUCCCUUCAUUGUGCCACUGGGCCUUCUGACUCAAAGUCUGCUAAUAAAAUCAAGAAACAUGCUAGCGCCACAAGUGACAGCUGGUUAUAUUAAUUUGUGAUCCACAUCAGCCCAACAAAAGUCAUGUCCCAUAAAAUCCGUAAAAGGAAUCAGCGGCAAACAAACCGUUGAGAGAGAAUCUUACCAGGGCUAAGGCAAAGGAAAAGGUGGUAAGUCAAGUUGGACUUGUCCCUCUUAAUGAAGCACUGAAUGGUUCCAUCCCGAGGCCCUGGCUGUAAACAACAAACAAACCAGAACUAGGUCAAUCAUAGCCCAUCCCCAAUAUAAUGGGAAAUUCUUUCUUUUCAACAAACACAUGAGCCUUUAAGUAAAUUUGCUCACAUAGAUUAUACUACGGAUAAAGAAAUCAAGUAACCGUUUAAGGAAUCAAAACUUACGUAACAACUUGGGAGAAACCAACUUAAAGCAAAACAAAGACCAUAAAAAAACAUGCCUGUUUCAGAGAGAUGGGGAAAGUAAGCUUCCCAGAGAACUCUGGACUUUUGACAAUUUCUUUACACAUUUCUCUCCAGGAUCUGCAAACAGCAGCGCAUGCAACAACAUGCUUGCGAGAUGGCCAUGUACUCUCGCUUGCCUCCAACCUCUUAAUCACAUCACGAAGUAGCUCAGGUGGAAGGCCAGCCCAACGACUGUUUUGGACCACAAGAGGCUGGUCCUGCAACUCAUGGACUGAGCCAUGGGAUUUCCCUCUAUGAUGGCCAGGAAGCCUAACAUCAAAACUCCGCCUUGAUAAGCUCCCAAACCCAUCCCUCACAUCACGAACAAUGCUGCGAAACGACAUUCACUCCAAUAUGGCUGAUAUUUCUGCCAAUCUUGUCACAUAAAUUAUAUUCCUCUUGAGUAAAAUAAUGACCACAAACAGUUACACUUGCAUACAACUGCAAAUCAAGCAAAGUUUAUUCAAAUUCCAGUUAGAAAGCUUAACAACCAAAAAAGAGAAGAGAGAGAAGAUAGAAGAAGAAAAGCACAAAGCAAGAAAAGGAGAUUCCCAGAAAAGAAAGCCUAGCAUGGACUUAAAGCAGCUCAAAAUACCUGACUUUUAUCAGGAACUUCUUCACAGUUUUUUGAAACCUGAUUUUUGAACCCAAAUGUGAAUGAUUCGAUAGUUUUACAAACUAAUUCAAAUGAACAAUACAAAGUCCAAAACAUAAUCAAAGGAAAAUCCAAAAGAAGUCCCGAAAUUCAAAAAAAAACUAAAUAAAUAAAUUAAAUAACUGAGUCAAACUAUACAUUUUCCGGAUUUUAGAAUUCUCGGAAGCAAAGCCAUCAAAGAGACAUCAUAAACACAAAAUAGGAUUUUUUUUUCCCCCUUUUCCCAGGAAAAACAACAAAUCAAUUAGCCAAGUAAAAAGUACACGAGAUAAUUUAAAUGGAGGGAAAAAAAACACACAUUUGAAGAUAUCUUGAUUUUCACUCACUUCAUGUUUAUUAUUGCCAUGAAGUUUCACACAAUAUAAUAUAUCCCAACUAACCCUAAAUAUAAACGUUUUCCUGCAAAUCUUAGUGGUGGAGAUGGAGAAUUAACACGUGGAGCUGGAAAAUCCAGGUUUGAAAACUCACCUGAGCAUCACAAGGUCGGAAUACCAAUACACCACUAUCAAAGAUCGAUUCUUUCACUUGGAAACCAUAGAUCCAUACAUACAACAGAUCAAUCAUGCAAAGAUUAAAUUUUUCUACAAAAACCCUGCACGAACAGAAACUUAGCCUCAGAAGCCAUGCAAACCCCAUGAAAUUUCCAAAAUAAGCCAAGCCCUUUUUUCCUCUAUAAUUAUUAUCAUGGAAAAGAAAAGGAAAAAAAAAAAAAAAAACAGAUACCAAAACCCGAAAUAAAAUUAAAAAAAGAAAAAAUACUUUCCCUCAUUUUUUUCCCGGAAAAGAAAAAUCAAGGAAAAUGAGAACAAAACCAUUUCUUUCCAGACAAGAAAAAGGAAAAAGGAAAAAAUAAAUAAAUAAAUAGGAGCUUGUGAUCAAAAUGUGGUGCUUACAACACCAAUAAAACUGCAUGAAAAACAUUUUUUUUUUCCAGAAACAGUCGAAGAAUCCAGAAAACGAACCUUAACAUCCAACCAUCACCCAAAAAAAGAGAGGGUGAGAAAGAGAGCUGAGAGAAGAAAGAAACAUAUACAGAGAAAGAGAGAGAAAUGAAGAAGAUCUGGUAGAGUGAAUACCAUAAAAACCAGAAGCUGCAAAAUUCACGCCUUCAUGCCCCUAGGGCUCCACACAUAUCAUCACCACACGGUUUCUCUCUCAUCUCUCUUUCUCUACAGACGACACACAGUCUCUCUCUCUCUCUAGAGUGGAGUUUUCCUUUUUGUGAAGCCACGGACUUCAACUUCUUAUCAAAUCUGGUUUUUGGAUAGCGGUGAUACACGUGGCGUCAACGUGCACCUCACAGCACGCUCUCUCACCGUCAGAUUUUGGCGAGUCAACGUAGUGGAUCGGCUGUUUUACCGAGCUACUUCAUGGCUAUUGACACAGUCACUGCUGUCGCCGUGACUCUAGGAUUCUUGCUGGAAACAAAGCUAUUGUUUUUUUUUUUUCUAUUUAUUUGAGUGUAAUUAUCUCUUAAUUUUAAUUCACCCUCGCAAACCAGAACUCCUUUACUCAAUUACCAUUUCACCCUCCCCGUUGACCCCCAUUUGAAACUUGCCUUUUACUUUUUGCUGUAAUUUAAUUUUUAUUUUUGGCUAGUUGUUAAUAAUUAUGGGGUUGGUGAGCAAUCAGAGGAAGGGAUUUGUCUGGGAAACACGGGAGUAAUUUUCGGAGGUAUAUUUUAUUUUAUAAAAUGUAAAUAAUUUUUUAAAAGAGUCAAAUAAGGAGGCCUUUUUAGUCUUUUUGAUAUUAUCUUCUUUCUCUCAACUUCGCCGUCCUUUAUCCCAUCACUCGCCUGCACAAAUUAAAUUUAUUUUACUUUUCUUACAUUAAUUAUUAAUUAUUUGAAAAAACAAAUUUGGAAGCACUCGUAUAAAAAUAAUUAUAAAAUAAAAAAUUUUUAAAUUUUAUUUACUCACAAUCAAAAAUAAUUCAAAUUUUAUACAUGAAAUAAAAUAGUACCUAGUAUAAUACCGAAAUAUAAGAGGUAUUACUUACGACGAAAAAGUAUAUAGAACAUUAAUUAUUUUUAUAUAAUUAUUUAAAAUUUAUAUUUUAUAAAUUCAGAUUCUUAUUUUGUAAAUUUUUUUAUGUUUUCUUAAUCAAACAAAAUUUUUGGUUUGGUUUCAAAAAGUUUAAAAAAAAAUAUGAAGAAAAACAAAAGCGAAAGUAUAAGGAAAUAAAUAAAUUUAGAAUAAAAAACUAUUUUUAUAUAUUAUUUCAUAUUUUUUACAUAUUUUAAUCUUAGGGAAGAGUGAAGGGGUUCGAUUUGUUUAAUGCAAUGAGGUGGGUUCAUGUGAUGUUUAUAAUGACUUCGUGCAUGCUCUCAUCAUCAAGCCUUUACACCUUUAAAACUAUACUCUCCCUUACUAAUUAAAAUUUCACCACUUGGUACUCUUUUCUCAUUUCAUACCUUAUUUCUUAUUAAGCUCUAUUUGAGAAGUUUAUCUAGGAAUAGGCAUGUAAAAUAGAUUUUUUUAAAAAAAAUUUAUUGUUUUAAAUUUUUAAAACAAUAUUAUGAUUUUUUUUCCUAAAUCCAGAUAGGUUGAAAACCAUGUUUUCAUCGAGUUAAUCAUUAAAUAUCAUUAAUGGAUAGAAGAUAAGUUUUAUAAAAUAAAAAAAAAUAAAACAUUAAAAAAAUCUAAGUCGAUCUAGUAACUAUUUUCGAAAAUAGUUUUAAAAAAUAAUUUUUAAGAAGGGUUUUUUAAAGUUAUUUUAUGAUGUUUUAUAGAAUAAAAGUUUGUUUGAAAAUCUAAAAUAUUUUAAUAUAUUUUUAAAUAUAUUUUAAAAAUAAUUUUUUUAUCACAUGUUUUAUUUUUAAUCAUUCUACAUGUUUGUAUAAUUAUUUUUUUAAAUAACCUUUAGAAAACAUAUUAAAACAAUUAAAAAAUAUUAUCUCAAAACACCAUAUUUUCUAUUCUUAAAAACAGAAAAUAGAAGACAAUUUUUUGUCAUUAAACUAAGUUUUUUUUUUUUUUUUUUACUUUAAACAACAUAAAACUAUUUUUAAAAACAGUUACUAAACAAACCCUAAAAUUCUCAAUUUUUUCUUUUAAAUAAACAAGGACAAAAAUCAAUAUUAACCUAACCUUCUCUUAUAAUCACUACUACAAGAUUGAAAUCUAAACACAAAGAGUUUAUAUCUUUUUCAAUUUUUUUUCUCCAAUAAAAUAAAAUAUUUAUCAUUUUGUAAACACUUUUAUUUUAUUUUUACUUAGCUACAUGAUCUAUUAAAUAAAAAGAAUCUUUUUGUCCAUGUAUAUAUCAAAUAUUUCAUGCUAAUUAUACAUUUUGUAUUCAUUUGGACCUAUUAUAUGUUGUGCCAAAAUUAGUUAGACAAUCAGUUAUAUACUAUUCAUCGAACAUUCAAUAAGAUAGCCUCAAAACAAGACAACUCUGUUCACUCCAUCGAUCAAGUUGUUAAGUAUGAAAAUCAAGUCAGGACAAGAAGCAGAUAAAAAAUACCUAAAUUGAAAAUAUUGCUCUUAAAGUGAAUCUCUCUUCCCUUAUUGGGAAAAAUUGUUAUUGUUCAUACUACCUAAACUAACUACUUUUCACUCUAAUUAAACUUCACUGAUUUUAUAGCGAGAAAAUGGAGUCAUGUCAAAAUUGAAUUUCACUUCCAAUCUCAAAGAGGGGGGCAACUUCAUAUCUUCACUAAACACACAAUUAUCUCAUUUAAAAACAUAUAUUAAAAGUAAUAAAAACCUAAAAUUUUAAAAAUAAUACAUUGAUUUGAUUAUAAAAAAACUGAUAAUAUCUUCGCCAUUACUUGGUUUAUUCUAAAAGUUUACAAAAAUUCCAAAUUUUAAAAUCUAGCAAAUGAUUCUAAAACCUGUUGUUGUCCAUAUGCCAAUUUUUUUUAAAAAAAUAAUAUUUAAAAUAUUUAUUUUCGCAACAUAAACAUCUAAAAAAGAUUGGUAUCUUGUAUAAAACAUAGUGCUAUUUUCUUAUUUCAAAAAUAAAAAAUAAAAUAUAUAUUAAAAUGGACAUUGAAUUAACUAAUUCAUAAUCAAUUCAACUCUCCAUUAAGUCAAAGUCUAGCCCAAACCAAAUAAUGGUUUGAUAGAUCAUAGAAUAAGAAGUUGAAAAUGAAAUUUUGUGCAAAAUAUUAUGAAAUUUAACAUGUUUAUUAAUUAAUGAACUUGCGAUCAAAUUUUAAGACGACUAAAAAUACAACCAUAGAAAACAUGUUACACAUUUAUAAUAUAUUUAUCAACUAAAAUAAAUUCAACGCGUCCAUUCAAUGAGCACAUUUGAUUGAAGCAAGUGGAAGAAGUUUCAACGCAAAUGACAAAUUUGACAUGUGAAACUCAAAAGGGGUUUCCAAAAAAAUGGAAGACUUGGUGUGAACGUGAUUUAUAAAUUUGGGCAUGUUCACGUGUUGACGUAUACCAAAUAAUCACCCCUCUUUAUAAAAUAGCAAAUGUUAAUUAUAAAUAUAUCAAUAAAUUUUGAAAUUAAUUAUAUGGUCAAUUCUCAACCAUCCCAUUUAACUACAUUGAAAGCACUCUUAGCCAAAGUCAUUAAUCUUGUUGAAAAGCAUAUAUGUUCAUAAAUUUUUUAGUUGAUUAUGCUACAAAAUAUCUAGCCAAUUUGCAAGUGAACUUACACUUAAAAUUUAUAGAAAUAAUCGGUUAAAUGGGAUGAAAUACUUACCAUAUUUGUGAAUUUAUCUUCUCUCGUGUUUUUAUUUGAUGAGUAAUUUAUUUUUUUAUAUAAAUGCCCUUAAUUAUUUUAAGUAUUCAUAAUAUGUUUUAAAAUAAAAUAUUGUUUUUACAAUAAAAUAAUAAUGAUAUUUUUGUCAAAACGAUGCCAAAAAAUGAUAAAGGAUCAGAUUUUCAAAAUUGGGUUUCCAUUGAACCUUUUUAAUCGAAUAACCCAAUUUCAUGAUAACUAUAAUGUUAAUAUCAUAGAUGAUGUUGUAUUUUUUGAUCCGCUUCUUCAAAUUAAAACAUAAUAGAAAUGUUUUAAAUUUUGAUAUAAUUUUUAUAUAUUAUUUCAUGUUUGAUGAAAGUUGGGGACAAUUUGAGAAAUGAAAUCAUCAUUAUAAUUUUGCUUAUACAUUUUGAUUUAAUUUACAAACUUUUGAUGAUGAUAAAAGAACAAAAUUUCCAACAUUCAUUCUAAAUAAUCAUAUUUGGUGGAAGAAAUAUAUAUAUAUAAAUUUUUAAAUGAAUUAUUUACUCUAAUGUGAUGUUUAUUUUUUGGUCUUUUUUUUAUUAAAUUCAAAGUAACAUAUUGGUAUCGACCAACAUAAUCAAACUGAACCUAAUAAUAACAAGUUUACUUUAAUUUGUUGGUUGAUAUAGAGAAGUUAUUUUUAAUUUAAUAAAAAAAUCAAAUAUUUUAACUUUUUUUUUAUUCAAUCAAAAACCAAAUACCACCAAAGGUAAUUGGUAAUUUAGCAAUUUUGAUACUCAUUUAUAAAAAUAUAAAGAAAAAAAUAAUGACUAUCCUAAUUUAGCAUAUUUGUAAGUAUAGGUUUUAUAUGAUAUUGUAAUACUCCUGUGUCUUUAUCAGAGAUGUUAUUUUAUUAAAAUUAUGUUAGAAUUGAAGUUAAACAAAAAAUAUAUAUAUACAAUUUUUAUAAUCAUUAUUGUUUUUUAUAUAUUUUAAAUUUGACUUCAAAUAAAAAAACAACUUUAAGUAAUAAAUAAAAACAAUUAAUUUAUUAAUAAUUUCACAUCUUUAUUUUAUAGUUUUACCCAUAUUUGUCCUUAUUACCUUUACGAUCUCUUUUGUUACUCUAUAACCUUCAUUAUUAUUCGAUUUUUUUUGCUCUAAUUAUAAUUUAUAAGGAUAAAUAUGUCAAUUUAAUGAUUCAAAAUAAAUUUUAAAUUAAUUUUAUCAAAUAACCUUAAUACUUAAAAUAAAAAUUAAAUAAUAAAUUUUAAAUCAGUAUAAUUUAACCUAAAUUUAACUUAAAUUAUUAAGGAAUAAAUAUUAAGUUUUACCAAACAUCCCCUUAAUAAUUUUUAAAAAAAAAAAUCAAAUAGGAAAAAGCUAAAGCAUUGUAUCGGUAUCCAACAAAUUCUCAAUCUCCAUCAAUGAAAUGAACAAAAAAGUUUCCACAAUUAAAUGAAAGUACAAAUAAUGAACUAUAUACAAAAAAAAAAAAAAAAAAGAUUAAGAUACAAAUAAAUAUCAUUAAAAUAUAAUACAAUAAACAUAAAAUAACGAGAACUAAAUACAUAUACAAUAUAAUUUCAUCGAUCGCAUUUUUCGAUAAGUAUCUUUUUGGUAGUGACUCUUUCAAAUAAUACGUGGUACGAAAAUUGAUGAUUAGGUAUCCAUGAGAUUUAUAUUUUUGUGUGUAUUGACAUGUGAAAGGUAUACCAAAGCAUGAAUCCUCACAAGCAUUUAUUUAUCCAUAGUCCAUAUAAAUAAAAUUUUGACUAAAUUAUCCAAGUCAAUUCUCAAUUCUGAAUUCUCAACCAGAGAGAGCUACAUCUACCACCAUUUCAGGAAUCGCCAUUAAAUAGUGUCACGGACCAUAAAAUUACAAGUCAAAGAAAAAAUCAAUUUUCACAACUUUGAAUAGUAUAACGGUACUAUACAUGCCACGUGUCACCCACCCCAUUAGCUCAAAUUAAAUAAAGUCAGAGGAGAGAAAAAUGUUUGACCUUUUGAGUGUGAUGCAAAUCUACCCUGCCACAACUUGUCAUCAAGAUCAGAUACGUAUGGUGCCCUCUCUUUCCUCCAUUCAAAAUCUUCCUCACAUGGGAUUUGUGUUUUUAUUUUUAUUUUAUAUAUAUAUAUAAAAUAAUAGUAAAAAGUGAUAUAUGCAUAAGGUCCCGUUUGCUUUUUUACUAUAUAAAAAAAUAAAAAACAUACUAUUAAAAAUAAUUUUAUAUCAAUUAAUAUAAUUAAAAUAAACUUGUUAUAAAAAAUAUUAAAUAAAAUAACCAAAUAUUUUAACUUUUUAUAUCUGUCCAAAAAAUUAUCACGUAAAUAAUUUGAAUAUAACAAAUAAUUUUUUUAAAAUUUUAUAAUAAUUUGUAAAAUACUAAAUAAAAAAUUAUCUCUUUCUUAAAAAAAAAUAUAAAAAAAUACCAACUUCAAUAUUUAAAUUGAAAUGGUUUAGUCUAUACAAAUUAUUCUAAAUAUGAAAAUAAUUUUUAAAUUUUGAGAAAAAAGAAUGUUCAUUCACUUGAAGGGUGUCACAUGUCAAUAAGGAAAACAAAAAAGGACAAGUGGAGAUUUGAUACGAGAUCAUUGGUUUGAAAAUUAAGGGAAGACAUUGUAUUAAUUAAUCAUAGUUGAUAUGAUAUGGAAUCACUCAACCAUGAUUAAUUGUAUAAAAAAUGUCACAACCCCAUAGGUGGAAUGUUGAUUAUAUAACGUGAAUGAUGUAUUUGGAGCAUCUUUUUAAGGAUAAUAAUGUAAUUUAAGGCAAAAUAAAAUGAUGGGUAAUUAGAAAUAAUACAAGUUGUUGGCAAUACAUUUUUUUUGUGGCACAAAAGCUUGGAAAGGUUCCUUUGCGUGAAUCAUGCUUUCUACCUACUCUUUGAAGACAUAUAAUGCUAGAUUAAGGUGUAAUUUGAUGAUUAUGAAUUGGAUUAGCACGUUAGGUGAAAAGGAAGAUUUUACGAAUAUUAAACUAUUUUUUUUAUAUGUCUUAGAUAUGCUUAUAUUAUUUUUAAAUUAUGGCCUAUGUAAUCGAGUGAUUAUUUUUGUCUUUUCAAGAAAAUAACUUGAAAAGAAAGUAACAUGUUAUAUGUCGUGAUUAGGUAAUUAGAUGAAUCAAAACAGAUAUUGGAAAUCUCGAGGUUUUAUAUUUAUUAAAUAAUCAUUCAAUGUGGGACAGAUAUCUUAUUUAUUUUUUUACUCUCUAUAUUUCCUUUGUAACCUACUUUUUUAUUUUUAUGAAAUAUUAAGUUAAUGUCAUGCCUUUUUUAAUCUUAAGUAUUCAUUAUUUUUCUUUACUCAUCAAGUAAUUUUUAUUUUUCCAUAUCUCUAUACUAAUUUUAUCAUGACCAGAAUAAUUAAGCAAUUAAGAGAUAAAUAUCAUAUACAAAUUAAAAAAAAGAAAUAGUUCGAAGAUAACCUACACUUUAAGAAAACUGAUUUUGACAAAACAAAAACAUUUUAAAAAAGUAUUAAUGAAACAACCUUUGUAUUGACGACAUAGAUACUAUAAUUAGAUGCUUAUAUAAACUACCUGAAAGUCGUGCUGACAUCAUAUAAUGAACCAUCUAUUUGCUCGUAAUAACUGUGUUACUGUUAAUAUGACCACAUAAGUUAAUGAAUAUUCUUUUGUUAUGAGUAGAUAUCGGUCAAGACAAUUAGAAGAUGACAAGUGAACUCUCGAUAUAAUAUAAAUAUUAGAGAUUGUUUUAAAAAAAAUCAAGUGAAAUUCUAAUAUACUUACAUUGAAUUUUAAAGUUUUAUUUCAAAAAAAUAUCUUUAAAUUCUGCAAUUCAUAUCAAAUCAUUUUUUUUUAAAACAACUUUAUAUAUUGUAAUUAUAUGAAAGUCAUAUUUUCAAAAGACAAUUUUCAUAUUAAUAUUUCAAUUAAUAUCAUAAUUUUUAAAAUACAUCUACUACUUCUUAUAGAUAUUUUAUUUAAAAACCCGCAUAAAUAUAAAAAAAUCCCUUAAGAAAGACAAUAACGUGACACCAUCUCAUGCCUGAGUACCAGGGCACUUUCAUCAAAUAAACCAAAAUGAAAUCCCACUUUUUGAAAUUGGUAAAAAAAUUGGAAUCCACCUAAAUGAUUUUCAACAUGCAAUGCACCAUCUCUUAGGUUCCUUGGCUUUCCUGUAUGCUGGUUUUCCUUCUUUUGCUUGUUAGGUAAGCUAGUAGAUAUGAAAGAUCCCAUGAAAUGAUGAAAAUGAAUAGAGAAUUAAAAGUAAUACAGGGUGAAUGAAGUCAUAGGGUCUCAAAAUAACAGGCUAGGAUCCACUUGUCUGCUUGUUAAAGGGCAAAACCACACCAUUGACAUCAUUUUUCCACCUCCCCCAUCAAAAAAUUACUUAGUUUAUAACUAGAAAAAUGUUUGGGCAACCAUCCUAGUCUUUGACUUUGCCUCAAACAAAUACAAACACAAGAUGACACCUAACCCAAUCAGGCAGGAAGGAAGGUGGAGAGUGGACUGCAGAAUGGGAAAUAAAAGGAGAUCAAAUAUUAUGCCACGUCUGGCUUGAGAAAAUCCUAUAUUUCAUAUUGCAUAGGAAAAGAAGUUUCUGUCUUUCUGAUAGUGUAUGAGAAAAAAUUAUUAAUUAGAUAGGUAUGUUUUAAAUCGUGAGGAGUUAGUAGGUUUAGAAUGCGAAGUGCAAAAGGAAGGCCCAUAAAAUGUUGGGCUGGGUCGGGCUUCAGUGCCCACCCAUAAACCAACACCCAUUUCACCCAAUAGACUACACAAACUUGGAACUGGUGAGUCUGCAGCCAAUUGUUUGAUGUGUACAACAAAAAUGAUCAAAACCCUUGUGGGUUUUCUGCAAAUGGAAAAUGGAUGCCCAAGGUACUCUCAAGCACACUUAUUUCACUUUUUUUUUAUUAGAAAAUUUUGGAAAUUGAAUAUGUUUAAGUGAAAUUUUCUGCCCCAUAAAUGACGGGUUUAGCCUAUUCUGCAAUUACAUGUUGUUUUGAAUUUGUGAUUUUGAUUGUAUGGAUUUACUUUCUAAGUUUUCUAAUGUAUAUUCAUAUGUUAUGUUGAUUACAUUGUUUGAUUGGUUGCUUACGGGAAUGAAUACACAUUUAUAAGUAGUUUCUUGUGAUUUAAAAUGCAUUUGUAAGAAUGUUUGUGGAAAUGAAGGAGUUUGUGGGGAGAGGGAAAAUUGUUGCUACUUAAAAGCAAUUUGAAUUCUGCUGUUUGGGGGUGGGGGGAAAUUAGUGAUGGAAAGGAAUUGGAAGGAUUUGGGUGCAGUUUAUAUUUGGGCAAAAGGGUGUAAUUUGGAUGAUAUUCUUCAUCCCUCCAUAUAAAACUUCUGUUGCAUUUUUCUUUAUGUUUUUGUUUGUAAUGUUGAGAAUCAACAAUCAAGAGUAGUCUUGAAUUAGGUUAGGGUUUAUGAACGUUAUGUGGGUCCUGAAAUCAAAUGACACAAACUAGAAAAAACUGUGGUUGUUUCCUGUGUUAAUCAGUGCUUAAUAGAGAUUUGUAUCAUUGGGUUGAUUUGCCUGUUUGCUUUGUGUCUCUUAGGUUUGAGUUUGAGCCAUCUGAUAUUCAUUUAUCUAUUUUGUUUUAUCUUCAAUUUCUAUGGGACUGAACACCGGGAUGUACUUUUUGUCAUGUUUUAUUUUUGUUAUUUUUUCUUGCAAUGACGAUAUGUAUGAACUUUGCAUACCCAAUGAACCAUCUGUAUCAGCCUUGCUCUGUCCUCCCUUAUUUGCAUACCCCAGAUCUAGGGUUGUUCAAUCCAAGCUAGGAAACAAUAAUCCGAGAAGAACAUGGUUCUGCUCCCAAAAGAUCCUUUGUGUUGCUUAAAAUGGCUUUGAGACGUUCACCAAAAUUGUGACAUUUUCAUCCUUGAAGCUCCUUGGGCAUUAAAAUCUCAACAAAUUUUGGAUCACUCACUCUCAAAUUCCAACUGAAUUUCAAAAUCCUCAUACCUGUCCUAUAAGAACCCUUCCAAUUGGAUGUUGAAAUACGUCAAAGUAGUAGUUUCAAGAUGGAAAAAAGAAAGGAUGUUGGUUCCUGAAGAAGAGGGAGAGAUGGAGCAUAAAGCACUGGCUUCUGCACUGGUAAGGAAGAAUAUGCUAUGGUUAUUGAGUUCUAUUCACCCAAGUGCAUGCUUUGCAAUUCCUUAUUGGAUUCUGUAUUGGAAGUAGAGGGUAGGGAUUCUGUCUGGCUUACCAUUGUAAGUUUCUUUCAUUCUGCCUUGUGUAGAAAAAAUUGGAUGUGUGCAAAAAGAAACUAAAGGAAAAAUAAGUACAGGACGAUAUAUUGAUGGGAUCAUAGAUAGUAUUAUUCCCAUGUUUCACUACCAUGAGUGUGCUGAAAGUUGACGGUCAUUUGCAUUAAGCCACUUUAUGCGUAUCUCAUCACUUUUCAACUUUGUUAGAAAUCUAAAUGUUCGUCAUAGAUAAUCUUGUGUUCUUGGGGAUUGGUUUCAGUUUUAGGGUUAGGAUCUAACUAUCUUAGAACUAAUCUGGUGUUUACAUGUCUAGUCUGAUAUGAAUUGGUGAGUUCAUAUUACUUGUCUUUUAGGUAAUGCCCAUAAUUGCUGAAAUUAAACGGCUAUAUAUUUUGAAUGCUGGAGGAUUUGUAUGUCUUGCCCUUAAUGGUGAGGGAUACAGGUUUUGCUUUGUUAAGUCACCUAUAAAAGGGAAGUUUGUCGUGGAGUGGAGGGAUAGAGGUUUUGAUUUGUUCAGUGACCUAUGGGAAAAAACAGUUUUGUUGUGUUUAUGUAUGUUGCAUUCUGUAUUGAGAUGUUUGGAUGUCCUUUAGAAAUUGAAUGAGUCAGUUUUUUUUAACAAAGGAUUUGAAGAAUGUCUUGUUGGCGGUGGUGAUGCAGUGAGCCUAUUCAAUUUUCUGACACUUCUGUAUUGGGAUUACACCAUGACUUCCUUCUGAUCUUUGCUCCUUUUUAUGGUUAAUUGUUUAUCACACCUUGUUUUCAGUGUUGUUAUCAGAUUUCCAUGGUUGAUUUAAGUGGAACCAUUACGUGAUGACAUUUUCUUCCAUUCUUCUGAUGUUCAUUUGUUUGGCAUCUUUGUGAAGCAUAUUCUUCUCAUGUGAUGGGAAUGUAAUUUCUGCACAAUUACAUUGCUAUUAGUUAAUUAUUAUAAUGAUCUAGCUGAUUUAUCCUUCGAUCCUUGGCAAUGCAGCUCCUCCAUUAUGAAGUAAAGUGUGUUCCUUACUGUAUACUGUUGAAAAAAAUAUGGGUGACAAUAGAACAGACAGUGUUCUGAGCAUUUGACUACAUGUCAUAACUGUUUUUUCUAAUCUUUAAAAAAUGAGGGGCACAUGCUCAAAAAAUAGACACUAGGUCAGGUCUAGUUACUGUAAGACAUACUUUUUGAAUUGUAAGUGGAUUAGAUUCAGUUCAAAGAAUUUUCUAAAUGGAUGUGCAGAAUCCAAUUGUUGUAUUGAAAAACAUGCUUCCAAACAACACUUGCUUAUCGCCUAUAACAAAGAGGAAAACACUAUAUGCUCUAUCAUCUCUUUAACACUUCUGCUUCAUAGCUCUUUUCUUCUGUGACUCCAUCUCUUCAGUAGAUGCUAAAUCUAAACACUCGUAUGUUCUACUUUUGACAGUCACUAUAAACCCACUUGGCACUGUUUCCCAUUGACUGCAAAAGGUCAUACAUUAGCACUAUUUGUUAAUCCAGUUCUUUAGUUCUUCAAGCUUAUUCCUUUUGCUAGCUCAACUUUCUCUUCAUAUUAUCUUUCAGUGUUGACAAUAAAGAGUGUCACUCCAAGCACUUGUUAUGGUCUGAUGUCAAGCUAAGUUGUAUGGCAGUGCUUGGGAACUGCCUUGGAUUGAAUGAAAAUAUAAAACUCAUUUUUCCCUACACAAGCUAAGGCAUUUUGUCACAUCUAAAUGUGAUCCAUAAGGUCAUAAGUUUGCUGUUAAAGCGGUUUGGAUGAUGACAGAGAUAAAUUUGCAUGCAGUUGAUAUUGUAUGGCAAAACCAUAUUGCUGGCUACUCAUUUAAUCAUUCAUCCAUUAAUUUUCACAUGAUCGCUAGAAUUUUUUUGCAUGCAAAGUUAUCAUUUUAGCAUCUCCUACAUGUGAGACAACACAUGAUGCUCUUUGACAAGGACUAGAGAUAUGUCCAUGGCCAAAUCAAUGUGAGCCAAUUCCGGGUUAAGUUAAUUCCUUGGCUCUUUAAGUGGUGAAUUGCAAGGAAAGUUCCGACAGCAUGGUCAUUGCACUACCUUAAGGAAAAGAUAUCCAUUUAGAUGGGAUUGUACACACAAAUUUCGUGAAAGUCCUGCAAAACAAUAAGAAAAAUGAUGCGAACAAAAAUUUGUAUUUAAAAUUAAUUAAUUGUGGGGUACAAUAUCAAUUAUAAUAUUCUUUACAAAAUAAUAUUUUCUCUUUGAUUCUUUCGUUUUGAUCACAAUUCGACAAACGAUGAUGAAAGUGUUUGCUUGGAUUUGAAGAUCAAUUGAGGGUGUAGAGUGACUUUUUCCCGAAUGAACUUGUUGAAUGACGAAGAACACGUGUCUAACACUUCUGCCAUUUAUCAAACUUGUAAGGAGAUUUUAUGAAGCCUUUUCUUUCUUUGUGAAGCCUCUUUUCCCGUGUGAAGUCGUUUUGCGGAUCUCGUUUUCUUGAUCCUGUUUUGCUGAUUUUGAUUUUUUUUUUUUUCCAUUUCUUAAAGGAAGUCACCUUUAUUUAUAGGUGAAGAUAUGGAGUUGAAUUUUGAAGUCCCGAUAUUUGGUUGCUUAAUUCAAGGAAUUUGGUUCCUUAAAUUUAGCAAUUUUUCUCUUUUUUCAAAAGUUUUUUUUUUUUUGUUUUUUGCCAAAAAGAUAAUAUUUACUAUUUCUUUUAUCAUCUUUUUUUUGGUUGGAGAUUUGUUUCCCUUUUUUUUUUUGAAACUUAUCAAUAAGAGAAUAUUUAUUUUUUAAUUCUCUUUUGAUUAGAAGACCUAAUUUCAUAGUCUUCCAAAUUUUGCCAUGUGUUACCUUCCAAGUUGCAUGCCAUGUGCCCAAUGAGCCCAAAGUUUGUUGAACCACAAAAUUACAAUUUUGAAGACAAAUUUAGUGGUAAUUUAAUCUACUAAAUUUUUUUUGAUGUCUACAUGGAUUACACCAUUUUUCAUCCAAAGUUGUAGACAUGUUAUGAUAGCAUGUUUGUAAAUUCCUCAACUUUAAGGAAGAUGGAUUCAAUCCCAAAUUUCUGUUGUAAUCCAGAAAAGCUUCAUCUGUGAUAAAGCUAACAGCUUCAGUGGAAUUACAUUUAUAUUGAAAGUUUGUUUGGAUAUUUUAGGACUCUAUACUCCAUAAUAACCUUAUAAAUAAAAUUUAGGGCACAAAGGUCCAAACAGAUAAGAGGUGGUGUGGUAGGGGUCUGGGUGGUGUGUUGUAAUGUUCCAAUAUGAAAAGUGUAAAGUGGUGGCAAUAAGUGUACUAUGGUCUUCUUGCACCUGUUGUAUCUGCCCUGCCCUGCCCUUUAAACCACAUGCUUCUCACUAGCAAAACUUCAUCUGGCAAAAAUCCUAGCGUGACAUGGGAGCUGAAAUUAUUUGAAGGUUUAUGAAAAAAUUAUAAUGUUUUCCCUGGAAGACUGGUGAAUUUCAUUAUCUUUUUAUUUAUAAGAAACUAUUUGCGAAAUAGUAAUCAGCAGUUCUAAGAUAUUCCUUCAAUGCACUUCUACCAUUUAAUUUUUGCAUCUGCUCAAGAAUGGUUUCACAAAUAUUAUCUAUAUACAGAUAGUUUUUUUACCUGAAAAGUACAAACUAAGAAGAAACUAAAAAUAAAAAGAAAAAUGGAAUGCAGAAUUUAUACAAUCCCUUAUAGUGGUACUAUCCAUUAUUAUAGCAUCUGCUACAAUUCCAACCCUAUAUGUCAGUGAUGUGUAAUGCACUCCAACACGAUUUCUUCUUUUGAUUCUUGUCUUUGUUCAUUUGUUACACUUUUCCCAUCUUCUCUGUUCUUCCCCCACAAAACGCUGUAGAGCCCCACCACUAGCAAUACUGCCCCACCAACACUGCCACAAAGAGUUAAGAGAAAUGAAUCUAUUGUCAGUACUUGGUUGUCAGAUGCUAUUACAACUGGAUAAUGUUCCAGAGAGUCAUGAAGCAAAAUGUUUUGUUUUUCCACAUGAUCCUUUGAAUUCAUUCUUUGAUACAUUUGAUAAUAUGUCAUGUAACUCUCUCUUUUUUUCUCUGGUAAAACCUAGGAAGCAAAUGCUUCUUAUAGUUUGUUUUAGAAGAAAGUUUAGGUUAUGAACCUUCCCCAGUAAAGGGUCUCCUUCCAUAAGAAUGCUGAGAAGACAGCUGUUAUGAUUAGUGCCAAUGGAGUGAACAUGGAUGUGAAGACGGGUCCUUUCUUCUCUAUAGUCCAAACUUGCAACCAAUAAGUAAUCCCAGUGACAACAAUGCCCUGCCAUUUUCACUUGUCUAUUAGAAGCAAAAUGUCUAUAUGCAUCUAUGUAUCGUCAUGCACAUGCAUGCUUAUUUAAGUAUAUAGAUGCAUGUGCUUAUGCUCUAGUCAUGGUUGAUUCUGAUGUAACAGGAGCAGCAUAUUCAUCUAUGUAUUAUGGAACAUGAUUAGCAUGACAAUGAUGGAUUUAGACUAGUCAUUUCUCCAAUCACUUGGGAGUGAAAUGCAUCGAUAUAUGGAGGGAGUGAUCUUCCACUAGUGGGGGUAAAAUUAUCUUCUUUAGCUAAUGAUCACAUGGCCAUUGGGAUAAGUUGAUUUUAUUCUAUUUUUAUUUUUUAUUUUCUUUUUUGUUGGGGUCGGGGAUAAAGGAUUGUAAAAGUAGCUACAUGAAGGUUUACAAUUCUAGGAAGAAGAUGCAGUUUAUUUUGGAUUGAACUCAAGGAAAUGGAAUUUCUGAAUCUUAUGAUCCAUUUUGAUUUUGUUUCUAUGUUAUAUGCAGAUAUCAGCUUUACUUAAUGGAUGAAGACACGUACACAAUAGGCGAUGGAAAGAAGAUUAAGAUCCCAUGCUAGCUUCCAUGAUGAUGGGUUCCUCUCCACCACAGCAGCCAGAACCACUGACUGUAUGCAGCUAAAGAAGCACUGAAGAGUAGUGAGGCGUAGUUUUGCUGGAUACUGCUUGAUAAUUGGACCCUAUAGAAACAAGAAUAGCUAAAAAUCCAUUUUGUGUGUAACAGAUCGAGCAAGAAUUUCUGAAAUAAUGGAGAAGUUCUAGGAAUUAACCUGUAAAAUAAGCCAGAGAGACCAGGCUGUGUUGGCUGCAAGCAUCAUCAGGGAGCCUUUUAUCCACUCUCCUUUGGAGUUUUGCUCUACAGACGAGUCUGAAAUUCCCUUCUUGAUUUCUGGAUACCAGUCCAUGAACUUCAGAGGAGGACCCUUGACAAAAGCAAACACCAUAGCCCCAGAAACACCCACAACAGAACCAAGCACCUUGGCUAUUCCAUGGAAAUGUUUCAUGGGAAUGCUCUCCAUCCUGAAAUAUUCAGAGCCCUUUUUUAUUUAAAAUGAAGGUAAUAGCAAAUCAAUCCUUACACUGAUAUUUACUUGGAAAGCUUCUCAUUUACCCUAUGAAAACAGCCAUGAUAAAGGUAAUGGCAGGGAUUGUGUUGGUGGUGGCCGCAGCAAAUGUUGCAGAGGUGAAACCAAUUGCCACAUAAUAGAGAUUUAAACUCAGGGUCAGCCUGCAGAUUUUUCAUAUAUAUGAGGGAUUGUUAGUAUGGAUUUUAUAUUUAGAGAUUAAGUUUGUUAAUUUUUUUUAUUAUUUGUUCACUUAUCUAUGAAAUGGUUUAUAUGAAAUUGAGUCAUGGAAAUAGCAUCAAAAUUAAGCCAAUUACUCACCCACAUAGUGAAACCAAGAAGAUCUUGCAGAGUGUACUGUAAGACAGGGGAGCAUCUUUCUUCCUGCAGAUUCAAGGGAAAAAAAAUCCAAAAAUUUAAAAAGAGAAAACAUUAUUUGAGCAUAUGGGCAGGAAAGACAGAGAAAAACAGAGUCAGGUAUAUAUAGUGAGUUUGAGUCAACCUCUCCAAGAAGAAAGCAAAUGGAGCUAAGGCAAGUGAGGCACAAGCUUGUCGAUAAACCACAAACACAUAAGGGUUCAUUCCUUUUGCAAUUGCAGCCUUAGAGAACAAGGCCAUGCCUGCAUACACAAACUGUAUGAAGAGCAUUGCAACAUAAGGCCUAUGGUUCUCCAUAGCCAUCACAUGGCCAACUAAACCCUUCAUGUUGCACUAUCUUUGGCCUCUUUUGAGAGUAUAUUGAGAUUGAGAAGCUCUUCAAUUUAUAGAGAAGCCUAGGGUUCUACUCAACACUCCCCUGCAUGGACACUUAUGGUGUCUUUUUCCUAUUGAUUUAGCCUGGAAUGUGGUCCUGGGGUGAAUUCCUUUUAGCUCCCUUCCUCAAUGGAAAAUCCAGUAAUAUCAACCACUUGUACCAUGUCCCUCAAAAAAGGCAUAAAGGACCAAUAGUUUCAGAUUCUUCCCUACUUUGUACAGCUUAAAGGCAACAAGGUGGAAAUAGUCUUCUGGCAAUGUUCAGUUUGGUAUUGAAACAAGUGCUUCAAUUAACUGUGCUAAUAUAGACCAUCCCCUCAUACCAACUUCGAACCUGCAUUUAUCGCAACCAAAGAUGUCAUUAUCAGCAUAGGGGCUAUAAGCCAUGAGCACUAAUUCGGUCAUGAGCACUAAUACACGCAUGAUAAUUUGGAUCACCACCAAUUAGAAAUACCUUGAAGCACUAAGAGGGGCAUUUGGUUAGCAUUUUAAAUCCAAUGUGAGACUGUUUUGUAACAUGGCUAACUGAGAGCAAUGUUGAAGACAUUGUCAAAAGUGCAACUUCUCUGAGGAUGAAAUGAUUGAAUCCGUAAUUUAUAUUUGCAUGAUUUCUGGUUCUAGUGAAAACCACUAAGGUAUAUGGUUGAGUGGGUGUGCACUAAUAUGAGAUGUCAGCUGAAUGGAAUCACUUGUGGUAAAACAUUCCAUCAUAGUUGAAAGUGAGAUGGAGAUGGAUUCAUUUGGUACAGAUCUCUGUGCUUGAUACUUUUGUGGCAAGGAUAUGUCAAUUUGAACAAAAAAUUUUUGGAGUUUGCUAACACAGUCAUGGUGAUCAAACUUUGCUUUAUGGCCAUAGUUGUAGGGCAUGCUUCCCCCCCUUAAGAAAAAGUUCAGAGUGAAAGGGAAAUUUGUCAAAAAGGAUAUCUCUUAAAGCAUGCUUAGGAUCAGCUUCAAGUUUAUAGGGAUAACGAAAUAUUAACUUUAGGUAAAGAAGUGAAAAAGCAAUCUUAGCAUCCCCCUUCAAGCUUGAAAAUACUAACAUGUUUUACAAUACUAAGUUAAGCAUUUAGGAUGAGUAAUAUUAUUUGUCAUGGUUUAACAUAGUAUAAGAGCUCUGAUUUUUAGUGUCUUCUGUUGUUUUUUUAUCUUUCUAGUCUAGCAUGAUAUUAGAAUUUUGGGUUUUUAUUAUCUUUAAUCGGGUACCUAUUCAUCUGUUUUGUCUGCUUCUACACUUGAAGAAUUGAUGCGAUAUGCAUUGUAAGAGUCUGCCAUGAUUUUUCUUAGUUGUACUUGUAAUGAGAAUUCUUUUCUGGUGACACAGUGUGAUUCAUAAUAUGUAAGGUGACCAAAACCAUAAGGCAACCUUGUUAGUUGAUUAAGUUACUAGUAAUCCUCAUGUCCCAUAAGUAUACAUACUAUCCCAGUCUUAGUCAUCAGUUCUACAUCUUCUUGGUGGUUCAGGAUACUGUUGCAGCACUGCAUCUUGUCAAUGAAACAGAUCAUGAGUGAAAAUGGGGCUUUGGAGCUUUCUAUUUUUGGGCUAUCUUUGCAAAAUUAACAUGUGCUUGCUUGGAUGCAACAGAGCAGCUUCAUAAGAACAACCACAUGGGGGCCAAUAUUGAACCUGACCAGUACAAGCUUAGCUUUAAAUGCUAAGCCAUGCGGUGUCUCCCUUACUUUCCAAUCAUACACCCACUUGGGUCCUACCAUUUCUUCACAUUUCCUCUGUUCGAGAGGACACUGGAAUUGGGCUGCUCUAUUUUCACUUUUGUUUUUCAAAAGUCUCGUGUGAAAAUAUGAUUAAUUUUUUUAUUUGAUCAUAGGAAUCAUCUUCCUCAGUUGUAAAUGAAAUUAUUUUUGCAGAAUCAAAGGUUGGUUCUAUAAAUUGUCUAUUGGUGUAGUCUGUUUGAAUGAUGUAACAUCACCCUUCUAAGAUAUCUCAAACUUGAGUUUGAGUCAAGUUUGAGCCUGUGUGAACCAGCAUCAAGGUUGAGUUAGGAUUAGGUUUGAAUACAUACCAACCUAAUUCUCAAGUUUGAUAUGCAUUAUUAUAAAUAUUUGUAUUUGUUUUAAUAUUUAAUAAACUGAAAAAAAUUAUUAAGAAAACUGAAUGAAAUACCCUAAAUGGGAUCAGAAAUUGCAAGGGGAUCUUUGUUUGUUUAUAACUAGGUCAACUAAUCAUACUGUCCAUGUAGGAGAAAGAACAGAGAAAUAAGAAUUAGGCCAAGCUGAACAUGAUAAACGAUUCUUUAGAUCAGCUUUGGGUUGAGUCUUUGGAACCAUUCAAUUAAGCUGAAAAUACAUCAGGAUGUUCCAAACUUCAAUUAGCAUGAAUUAAGAGGAAGAAGAAGUGGCCGGGGCGGGGGGUGGGGGGGUUGAAGAGAGCAGAGGAUCUGUAUGGUCCUCCAUGCAGGACCCAUGUGUCAAGCUUUUAGGGUGCCAAUCUUAGUUAAUACUAUACAUUGUGUUGCUGGUUUGUUGUCCUUUCCCCUUGUUUUGCUCCUGUUGUGGUUGGCACUGUAGAAGUGAAACCAGAACUCACAUAUGCUCCUUUUCUUUCACUGUUAUGGAAGUAACUCUUGAUCCAUCACUCCAUGUGCAAUCCUUCUUUUCGCCGUUAUGGAAGUCACACUUGACCCAUCACUCCAUUUGCAAUCAUGCAACUUACAAUGAUAUAUACACACAUGUUCAACUCACCACUCACCUUUGGCAUUCCUAUUAAUGAGUAUGAAGUCACACUGGUAAUGCUCCUCUGCUGUUUACAUGAAUUCAAAUAUCUACACAUGUAUGUUUACUCAGCCUUUUCUCUUUUGCCUGAGCUUGAUCAAGGUCCUGUCUCUGUCAAGGAUCUUUUUCCUGGAAAUGAGCACGUGUUCCUGGAAAACCACAGGAGUUUUAUAACGACCUCAUAGAGUGUUUUGCAAGAGUGUCACAUUGCUGUGAAAUGUGGCUGUCAGCUUAUUUGUGGGAUCACCAUGCAUAGUGUUACCUUAUACUGUAGCCUGUGGUUGGUUAUAAAAACCUCAGUCAUUUGUAUGCUUUUGGGGAAGAGAUACUUCAUGUUUUAACCAAAUGAAAAUCUACAAGGGUGUCAUUAUCAUAUCGUAAGGGAAAGGAACAUGCAAACAUGACAUUCUCAUUGUGUUCUACAGGAUUGUCGGUCAAAUACAUGACACCCUUUGAAGGGCCAAACAAAUAAAGGUUCACAGGGGUUGGAAAUUGACUUUGAUAUAAUUUGCAAUGACCCAUUUAUUUCUAUGGUUCAUUCCUUCUACGUUUUUAGGUUUGAUGGGCACUCACACAUGCAUAUGUAGUGUCAAAAACUUUUUUCCUUAUCUGAUGUGGAAUAUCACAAUCAUGAUUGUGAUAUGAGUUUCUCUUAACCAUGUAAACAUGUUUUAAAAUCGUGAAGAUUUAUCGGAUUCAAAGUAGAUAAUAUCUAAAAGUUGAUUGUUACGUCAUCACAUAAGCUGACAAGAGUCGCAAAUGGUAUUCUUUUUGGUUGAAAUCUAGCAUUCAUCACUCUUAUUAAUAAUUAGGUACCCAAAAUUUCAAGAAUGAAUCAUGAAAACUGUAGAUGAAUAAUCUCAUGUCUCUUUUCAGUAUUGUGGAUGUCUUGAUAUGUUUGCAGCCACUCCAAAAAGGCGUAUAUCGAUCUUGACUUUCUUUCCCCUGCACCAUCAUUGCCUUAUCGUCAAGCUUUUUCUCAGCAAAAUCCCAGAAAAAUUUACACAUUCUAACAGGUCCCAGUGACGCUGUAGUCCCAACACCCGAGUAGUUCAAUGCUUAGAUGAUCAACUGCUGCAGCAUGAUUUACGGCAAAUUUGAGUUUGAUACAUGUGCAUGCACCUGGACCUACAUAAAUGUUGUUGGCUGGCCAAUAGUUUAUUUUGCCCCUAGUUCCCAGCCCCUACCCUUGCCGUGGUCCGGUCCUGCUGCUCCUUUAAGAAGAUCAUUUACUUCAUAGUGAAUCAGCAAUGAAUAGGGCCUGAUUGGUUAGGGCGUUGAUCGACAAGACCCACCAAGACAACGCUGAAUUCCAGUUCUUAAAACUUAAAAGCCAUUCAUACACGGCGGACUCAAUUGAAUGAGGAAUGCCCACUUCAUGGACCACAAAAUUGGAAAAUUCAUGACUGCCAAUUUCAUGGGCUUGCGCUGGGUUGAUAGUACACAAGCCCACUUGUAGUUUCUUUCAUAAAAGCCGAAGAAAGGCCUAUAAAGAAUGGUAGAUGUAGCACACAUCCAAAAGCUAUUCUAGCACAUAAGUUAUACGUAACGAAAAAUGCCUUCUUCCCCUCAUCUUUUUUCUCCCUCCCUAGUCGAUUUCAGAUCACGUCACUCCCAAUAGAGGGAAGUGAUUGGAAAAUUUACCCAGAAAAGUUUGUUUGUCCUCGUGAAACAAUGAGCAUAUCCUCGAUCCAAAGAUAGCAACCAUGUGAUCAAUUUAGAAGAAAAGAAAAAGGGAAUGGAAUGUAAAACUAUUCUUUUCCCUAUACGCUGAUAAUGUAUGUCGAGUCGAUCUAAUCAUCCUCAUUUAUAAGCUCAUAAAUACGUCGUAAAUAGAAUGCCUUGUAAUUUGCAAUCGAAGACAAGAAAACAAAAAUAAAAUAAAAGGAAGAAAAAUUAAAAUAUGGGUCACAAGUAAUUUGUGGUGGUUUAUUAAUAAGAUAGAAUUAGCUUAAAGAAUAGUAUUUAGUCAAACAUAUGCAUUUGCCUUUAAGUCAAGGGAUUCGUUGAGUGCACGAAAUUGAGUAUGAUUUUUGGUCAUCUAAUUAGAGUAAUUUUUUUUUCUAAUAGAUAUUGUACCAUUCAAAGAUUUGAUUGAGAUUGUUAAAUUAAAAAUGGUGAUAUAUUUUUAAUCCAUGGAGAUGCCAAUGAUUUGGUGAGGUUCCAAAGGGAAGUAGUUGUUUUCAUUGGAGAGGUUUUAUUAUUAUUAUUAUAGAAGAUGUGGAAGAUUUUGACAAACAAUAGAAUCUCAACCUAACUUGUAGACACAUCUUUCCCUUGCUUGGACACCAUUUCUUGGUUCCAUUCAAACCUUUGAACCUCAUCAACCCUGGUAUUAUCUUAUUUUUACUAUUAAUAAAUUCACCGAAAAAUAAUUAAAAAAAAUCUUGAAUAUUAUUGUUGAAAAUGGGCUUGCGUGGCUAGAUGGAUUGACCUAACCUAACUUGACUCGACUCGGCUAACCCAAUAAUUUAAAAAGUAAGGAUCAAUUUGAGUUUUAUAACUACUGAGAGUGUGUUUCACAAUGAUUUUAAAAAACAUUUUUAAUCUUUCAAAUAUUUCAAUGAUACAAAUUUUCAAGUGUUUAAAAAAAUUAAAAACACUUUUUAAAAUCAUUGUUAAACGGUCUCUUAAAAACUAUAUCUCUCCUACUCUAAAUAUAUUUUUUUUAUAAAAUAGUUUUUUUUGGGAAAAAAGUUUUAUGGAAAAAGGUUUUUUUUUUUUUUUUUUUUUUUUUUAAGUUUUUGAUUUUCUUUGUAUGAAAAUAAAAGUCAAAACUCUUAUAUUACGAAAAAUCAUUGAAAACUAGCAGAGUUUUCAUAUUUGUAGUUUUAUUCAUGAUUUGAGACAAAAAAUUACCAAUAAAACAAUCAAAUCGGGAUUUUUGACCAUCUUUAGAAGUAACCCAAAUUUUUUUCCUACGAGAAUGGUAAUGGGAAUUUAAAUUUGUGAAUGAACAUGACACUCCUCUCCUAAUAAAUAAAUACAUUUUUCUAGUUGAAACUUGGACACUAGGAAUAUCUUUGGAGUAUUGCCCCACAUCCUCUAAUGAUAUAAAAUUUUGCAUAAGGUCCUCAUCACCAUAAUUAUUUAACGAAUUAUCAUGUAAAUUAAUCAGGUUAUCAAAAGUAGGCAAUAUUUUUAGUUCCAAAAAGGUUUGCUACCUGAUUUUGUAUGAUAAAAAUAUGACCUAGCAUGUCUUGACUCUUGGAUUUGUGUGUGGAGGUAAUAGGAUUUGUAUUCUUUGUUUUAUUUAUUUAUUUUGGGUUUGGUUAAAUAAAAAAAGUAUUUCUAAAUGAUAUUUUUAUGAUCCUCGUGACAAAGUUUGGACAUGAUUUUAAAAAUAGCUUUUUUUAAAAAAAAGAAAAUCAAUACAACUAUUCUUAUUAUAAAUAUCAUAAUUAAAAUGGGUAAUAAAAUCUAUGAUGAUUACGUGCGUGUUUAAGAGCUUUUUUACUCAAAAGUAUUUUUAGGAAUUACCAACACUAUAAAUGAUUUUUUAUAUUUUUAAAAGUGUUUCUUAAAUUUUGUCAAAUACCUAAUUUUUGUGAACAAGAAAAUCCAAGAAAGAUUAGCAACAUGAUAUUUGUAGCUCGGGCUUCAGCAACGCCUACAACAGAUCAAGUCCCAACUCCGAUUUUUGUUUUAGGGAUUCCAAUUUUAGGCCAUGACCAUGGCUUUCCUGUCUGAAGCUCACUUUUCGGGUGAUGCCUAUGAUUGUGCUCCUGGACGAAAGAGAAUUCUUAUUUGGUGAGACCGUGAAAUAGUUUUUUCAAUAGAGUGUGAGGUAGGGUAUACAUCACUCCAAAUGUUGUAUGGAUGAUUAUUACAACACUAUUUAUUUUUUAUUUAAAGUCAAGAAUUUGCCUAUCCAAAUUGAUUAAAAAAAAACCAUCAUUUCACAAUUUUUAUAAUAUUUAUUUAAUUAUUUUCAUUACAAGAUAUUCAUAUGCUUUAUAUGUAAAUGAUUGUUAUACCUUCAUAUUUUAGGUUUUAAUCUUCAUUUUAUAGUUAUAAUAUCAUCAUAUUCUAGAAAAAAAAAAGAAAAAGAAAAUAGUAAGGUAGUGUUUUUUUUUUUACUUAAUUGUAAAUAGAAUUUCAAAUUAAAUAAUGUUUAAUAGUGUUAAGUAUUAAAUUGAUUUUUUUUUAUUUAGUAAAAAAUUUAUAACAAAUCAUAAAAAGAUAGAAAAAUAAACAAUUUAAAAUUUGGAAACAAAUUACUUUGAAUAAAAAAAAGUUAAAAAAAAAACCACCUUUAAACAUUCUGCAAUGAAUUUAAAGGGCAAAUUAUUGAAUUUUGAAUUUGAAAGUGGCAAAAUGCAAAAGGCUGAACAUCCGCAUGCAAAAACUAUUUAACCUAAUUUAUUUACACAUUACCCUUCUUAAAUAUUCCUUUAAAAAGGAAAUAAUAGUGAAAAUAUAAUAUGCUAAAAACAAGUAAAUAACAGUUAAAUGCAUCAAUAACUACCCUAGAAUUUGGCCAACAUUAUCCAUCUCACACCUACGAUAAAUUCAUCCAAUAAAAUCUUCCAUUGUCAUUCAUAAAUUUUGGCCUUUUCAUCAUUCUGUACAUUAACUCAUCUUCAACAGUACUUGAACCCCUUCAGUCCAAACAAACCCAUCAUCUUCAAACUUGCUAAAAGAUCUUAAAUUGGUAUUUGUUUUGAGCAUUAAAUUAAAAGAUUUAUAGCUCAAAAGGCCUCUCUUUGGAGUUCUCUCCCUCCUUUGACUUUCCUGAUUUGUCCCACUCCUCCCCUUAAAGCCUGGUCUCAGGCCUCCAUAUGUGAGUCCCAUCCAUAAGCUUAAACUCAAAAGAUUAUAUAAUAUAAAUCUAAUUUAUGUCUUGUGGUGUGGGCAAUGGGGUCCAAAGACUCCAAACUCUCCCAUCCAACCCAUGAACUCAGUCAGAAUGAAAGCAGCAAGACCCAGGAAGUGAAAAUAGAAUUUCACCAUUCCCAGAAGGUGAUAAGUUCAAGCAAAGAGGAGAGAGAUAUGAAGAUGGAUGGAUGGAUAGAAUUUUGGGAGUGAAGAUGACGUGAACAGGAGGUUUCUAAUGUCUUAUACUGUAACUGUGUAACAGAAUAUCUAUUCUCCAUCAACAGAUCAUGACCACUCAAUAUGUGGACCCCAUGUUUAAUGGACAAUAUUUGGAGACUUCCCACAAACUGGACAAAAUCAUAGAGCAUGCACAAGUCAAAGAAAAUGGACCAUGGUGAUGGAGAAAUGCUCACUUUGAGAUUGAAUUCUAAUGCCGUGCCCAACACCCAUAAGGUGUCUUCUAUAACUUUUUAAUCAAUGAUGGAAUGAUUGAUCUACUACAAUCAAUACCAUGGUUAUGUGGAAAGUCAACACAUUGGGAAACAUUAGAUUACAUAAUCAAUAUAUGCUAUUAUUAUGGGAUUGGACUCCUAAAAGCUACCCCCAUUUUCUUUUCUCACUCUAACCAUAUUUUUUUUUUCAUUUAUGUAAAGAAGCCCACAAUUUAAUUUUCUCAAAUGAAGUUAAUUUUGAAUUUUAUUACUAGAUUUUGACAUUUGAAAAUAUUAUUACACAAUGAAUAUAAUAAUAACAUGGACCCGGAGAAAAUUAAGACAACAUGUUAGCUUCUGAUUGACAAUAUUUUUGAAAACGGUUUUUGAGAAUAACUUUUAAUUCACAAAUUAUUAUACUUAUAUACGACACAAAAUAUUUUAAAAUUAUUUUUUAUAACACAAUAAAAAAAAUAAAAAAUUAUAUCUAUAAAGUGAGGUAGAAUGAGAAGACUGAAUGGGAAGGGAAGUGAAUUCAAUUAAAAAACCCAAGAAGAUUCCUUGAGGGUGGGGUCCAAUGUGGAGGCUUUCAUUCAUGUGAAGUUGGCAUGUUGUGGGUGUUCCAGUGAGCUUUGCUCAUUGUCCCCUUCAUUUUAAGCUGUUAUGGUUCUUUCAUCUCCCCCAUUUCAGCCCCCUCACCCAUUAGGCCAUUACUAUAACACACACCAAAAAAAAAAAAAAAAAAAAAAAAAAAAAAAAAAAUCUCAAAAUUGAUGAAAAAGUACUGAAACUAGUUUCUUAAUUGUUAUCAUUGACCCAGAACUGAACCAUUGCUCACAUUUACACCCCAUCAAAUGCAGAAAAAUACAACACUGAUCUCUAUAUUUUAUUCUGUGGAACCACCCCCUUCAGCCCUCCCCCUCUCAGAUUAUUUAUUUAGAAAAUAAUAAAUAAAUUAUAAAAAAAAACAUAUAAUCCCACUAUAGGCUACAACCCAUGUGUUUGUUUUUUUUUCCAUCCUCCUCCCUGAAGUAUAAAUUUUUUUUUUUGAAGUUUUUGCUGCAACCCCAUCUUGCCAGCCGGAAUCUGACCCACUCAUCCUCUCUCCGACAACUUCUGCGAUCUGACCCACUUCCAUUGCCAUUUGCCACAGCUCUCCCAGUCAAGUGCCAAACUCUCUCAUCAACAAAAAUAAGUUAAAAAAAAGAGAAAGAAAUAAAGAAAAAAAAAAGAAAAAAAAAAGGUUUCUCUGUAUUGUCUCACUCAGCCGUGCCCAUCGAAGAUGUUUUGUUUGUUACUAUCUCAUAGCCACCUCCAUCAUCUUCGUCGUCCUCAUCUCCUUCUUGCUCUUCUUCUCCGUCGUCUUCGUCGUCCUCCUGGUUCUGCUCCAUGUUGUUUUCGCUUUCCAUGUCCUCCAUUCCCGAUUCCGAUCUGUUCAUCUCGGGGUGUAGAGGCCAUUGUUGCUCUGGCUGCACCAUUAUGGGGACCAUAGGGUUUUCGGGUUUCAAGAGGGGGUAACUGGGAUUGAAUGAGUUUAUCUCCAUCUUGUUCUUCUCUUUGUACAGCGCUUCAAGCUGGUGGAAAUAUGGACACGUCUUGGAAUCUUCUGGUCUUUUCUUGUUGCUUUCCUUCACUUUCUUGAAGUACUUGUUGAUGUUCUCCCAUUUCUCUUUGCAUCUUUUGGCGUUCCGGUUGUAUCCCAGCUUUCUCAUGCCCGCCGAGAUCUCCUCCCAUAAGGGCCCUUUGGGUCCGUUUUCCUGAUACUUGACAUCCAAGCUGGUUCGGAGCCGAAUCAGGGCUUGGACUUCGGCUUUCGGCCAUCGGGAUGAGCUUGUUGGAACUAAAUUCUCGGCUCCUCCUCCGUUGUCCAUCUUCCUCGGUUCCAAAACCUUCACCAGCUGCAGCUGAGGCUGCGGUGGCGGCGGUUGUGGCGGUCCCGCCUGGGGCUGCGGCAGUGGCGGGGUACUGUCUUGCAGUUGCACCGGGUUUUGCUGCUCGGAUAUUUUCUGCAGGAAUGCAAUGACCGCUGCGUCUUUGGCGGCGGCUAUUGAUCUCUCCUGGACUAAAAGCUCGUGCUCUCUAUUCAUUCUCGCCAUUUCCUGCAUUUUCCAAGCUUCUUCACGGACCAUUCGGUCGUGCUCUCGCUUCUCUAUGGCUUCCAAGAAUCUCUUCUGCAGCUCCUCUUGCCUCUCGAUCACAUCCUUCAUUAGCCUCUGGAAGAAGGCCUUCCACUUCCUCUUUCUCUUACCCCGUCUCUCCAAUUCUUCGUCGGAGGAGGUUGAGGAAGAGGUGGAAUUGGAGAGGAAAUUGGCGGCCAUGGCUGGAUGGGCGGUGGGAACAUUGUUGUGUGGAGGAUGCCGGCUCGUGGGUGGCGUCGGGGAAGGGAUGGUGGGAAUUGUAGGGUUUGCUGUGGAAUUUGUAGGGUUGGGUAAUGUUGAUGGAACAGUGAUUUCAGGGAGAGUGGUUGGAAGGUUAGCCAGCGGCAUUGUGGCGGCAAGCACUGCCGGAGCUGGAGGUUUAGAGUGGGGGAGGGAGGCAAGUGAGGGUUGAGUUUCCAAAGCUUCCAACUGAUCGAAAAACCGAUAAGUUUUGCCGUCGGCCUUGGAGGCUCGGCCUUCUUUGGUUCUCCUGUGGUACUUGAAGACGUUCUCGAAUUUUUCCUUGCAUUUCUUGGCGCUUCGAUGAUAGCCAAGCUCCGCCAGUUUCCUGAUAAUAACAGUUGAAGAACACUCCGUUUUCGUUUCUAUCUCAUCUCAAAUCAACCAAUAAAACAAAAGCUAAAACCAUUGAUACAUAAAAUAUAAUUCAACUGUAUCAAGAAUUCCCACAAGAAAACCUAAGAAAACCAGGGAAAGACGAGGCAGGAGGCCCAGAAAAUCAGAAUAUGCAGACAGCUUUUACAUGGAUGGAAGAACACCACCUCAUGUGAAUUCAUUUUCUGUUGAUUUGGAAUUUACAAGAUGGAUUGGGAACUGAUAAUUGAAGAUGGAAUUAUGGAAACCCAAUUCCCAGGAGAUCAAUUCAGCUUUCUUCCAACUCUGGAAAGAAAUGCUAGAAAAGAAGCCAAAAGCCAGGAAUCCAACACUCACUUGAAGCUGAAUUCCCUCGAGAUGAACAACAAAACACUACCCCUCGAAUCAGAGACACAAAAUUCACUGAAAACUGAUUCACAGAUCUCCACCCAACAACCCAAACAGCUGAAAUUCCCAUCCAACCAAACAAAAAAAACAUAGAAAAAAAAAAAGAGGCAAAAUUCAGUACCUGGAAACCUCUUCCCAUAAUGGGCCUUUGAGACUUGAGUCACGAAAAGUAACAUCCAUAUCAGACCUUAUCUUCAACAAGGCCAACGUCUCCUGUCUCGGCCACCGGUUACCGGCGGAACCCCGGUCACCCUCUUCUCCUCUCCCCCUAUCCUCCUCCCCGUAACCACCUGAAUUUGAUCCACCUCCCCCACCCCCACCACCCCCUCCGCCACCACCUUCAUGCUCUACGGCAGCAGCCGCGCCAUCGCCCGAGCUUCCCAACAGGCCUGAGACCCCCAGCAUAGGACUCCUUUAGCCCAAUUACAGCUGAAAAAAAAAAUAUACACCAACAACAACAAAAGAUGGUGAAUUCUGAGGGUUUUAUGAGGAUGUUUGUAUGGUGAAUUUAUUAAUUUAUUUCGGUGGGAUCUGCCUGUCAAUCUCAAAAAUAAAAAAAUAAAAAAUAAAAAAUAAAAAUAAAAAUAAAAAUAAAUAAACCAUCAACCCCUCAAAAAAAAUUCUUCUCUUUUAGCUGUGGAAUCUUGAGUAGUACUUUUUCAACAACAAUAAGCGUCACUUGGGCUGUCACAGUAAUAAUAAAAAUAGCAUAAGAAAAAAAUAAAAUAAUUUUUUUUUUUUAAAAUGUAGUAAUUGGAAAUCGAAGAUGAGCAAGAACAGCUGCAGAUAGCGACGAUGGUGAUAAUAAGUUGGUUUUUGUCUGUCCAGCUAAAUAUAGUUAAAGGCCGGCCCAUGUAGGUCAGCUUUGCUUUUGGGUGCGUUUUGGAUUUCUGUGGCCGUUGCCUUGCCUGCGAAUUUACUCUUCCACCCCUGCCACUAUUUUUGUUAGAUUGGCUUAAUUAUUAUAUCAGAUUCUUCAUUUUUUGUGUGCCCAAAAUACCCAUGGUAUAAAAAUAAAUAUUAAUGAGAUUGAUUUUGGUUUUGGGUUUUUGCUGCAACUUGCUGGUGAAAUGUGGUGGUGGCACCGCCACGACGGGCCAGACGGGCCUACGGGGAUGGCUCAUGGAUGGCGACGAUUGGUUUGCUAGUUUGACAAGGUUAUCAUAAUUGUGAAAGAAAAUUCGCCGUAAAAUGACCGUAGAAAGUGUGGGAUCCAUGCCCCCCUUUCUCCAAUUAAACCCUGUUGGAUGAAGGUCAUGUUAUUAGGCAAAGCUAUUUAUGAAUUGAAAUAAAUAGUGUCCAAUAUAGUUAGGUUGUGACCUACCCUCAUAAAUGUUAUUCAUAUUUCCAUGGCUAUGAUCUUAUUUCCGGCCAUAAAAAAUUUGGGCUCUGGGGACCAUUCGCCGUGGUGGCUUCUUGGGUUAUCGUGUGCCUCUCAAAUUUUGUUGAUUUUAUUUUCAACACCUCCAUAUGCCAAAUGUAACAUUUAUUUUGUUAAGUUCAAUUGAUAUAACUUUUAUUGUAACGAUUCAUAUCAAACCACGUAGAUAUUGUCUAUACAUUUAUUUUAUCGAGUCUGAUUGAUAUGACUUUUAUUAUAAUGAUCGAUUCUUAUUAUAAUAACUCGUAUCCAAUCAUGUAAAUAUUAUUUUUCGAUUUUAAAAUGUGUUUAUAAGGUUAAAAGAAAUUUACAAUUGUAUAAACCCCCUUGUAGACGCCUUUUCAUAGGGUUAAACAAACUUUCAUACCCUUCAUAUAGACACUCCUUCAUGAGAUGAAACAAACCUCCAUGUCGGGUUUGGGGAUAAGCUCUAAUACCAUAAUCCAUAACUUUAAUACCAUUUGUAAUAGUUGACUUUAACAUCAUUUUUCUCAAUUCUGAUAUCAUUUGUAAUGGUUUGCAUCCGAUCGUCAUCUAAUUAUAUAGAUAUUAUUCGUUGUUAAUUUAAAGGGUUUUUACGAUUCUAAAACGCGUAUUUACAAUAUUAAAACGAGUCCAUACAUAUAUAGUGAUAAAAACUUUUUUUCUAUAUAUGAUAUAAGAAAUUAUACUUAUCAUUGAACCAAAGUUAGUCGGUUGCCAUCUUUUAUUUGAAAUUUUUAAUAGUUUUUGAUAAAGAAAAAAGAAAAAGAAACAUAUGGUAGUUACUUGCAAUAUUUAUAUAUAUGAUAACCUUGAGGUAGAGGGAGGUAUCUUAGGUCAAACGCAAAGUGUGGGGAAGGAGACUAAGGAGACUAGGGAGAUGGAUAAGAGCUUCAGCCAUUAAAAAAAAAAAAGAAAAGAAAAGAAGGGAGAAAUGAACUCAAUUAUUGACAAUAAAAAAUUAGUAACACAUGGGGACCCAUCAAUCAAUAAGACAUUAAAUGCACAAAUCAUCCAAAAUUAACUUUAUUAUAUAUAUAUAUAUAUAUAUAUAUAUAUAUAUAUAUAUAUAUAUAUAUAUAUGAAAGUAUUGCAUCAUUAGGUGGGGAAAACUAAAAAUAAAAAAACAAGAGAACAUGAAGAAUCAUGCAGGCACAAGGGUGUUUUGGUAAAGGAAGAAGAAGAGAAGAAAAAGGGGGAGUGGAAUUUGCCAAGAAAAGAAAAAGGGUAUGUUGGGAAUAUUAGGAAUGAGGGAAGAAGGGGAGAGGGGGAGAGAGAGGUAAUAUGUAAGUUAGGCAACCAUCAAAGGGGCAUAAGUUUUUUAAUUUUUAAUUUUAAUUUUUUUUAAUUUUUUAUUAUGAAGAGGUGAAUGGUACGUAAUUGAUGAUGAUAAGACUAGUCACAUUUUGUAUAUGUUAUUUUGCUUGUCAUACAAAGAACUAAGAAAUUAAAAAAAAAAUUAGAAAAAAAAAAAAAAACAAAAGUAAGAAUAGAAUUGGUUUUAUGUCUACAAAAAUGUGUGUGCUUCGCUGGAGAGAUAGAUGCCUUGCCACUAUGCCCACCACCACUCAUGGGUAGAACCGUAGAACUCUCUCUCUCUCUCUCUCUCUCUCUCUCUCUCUCUCUCUCUCUCUCUCUCUCUCUCUCUCUCUCUCUCUCUCUCUCUCUCUCUCUCUCUCUCUCUCUCUCUCUCUCUCUUAAAUAUGAGUUUUGAUCCGGUGGCCUGCGGUACAGGGCAAGUCAUUACCCCCAUUAUUGGGUCGUAAAUUUGUAAUUAGUGGCAGUGAUGAUAAUUUUUUUUUUUUUGGGUACCCCUUCACCAAUAUUAAAAAAAAAUGAAUUUAGCAUUUUAAACAUGAUAAGCAUUUAGCAAUUUAUCAUUUAUUUUCAAUUAUUAAUUGCAAUAUUAAUUUUUUUGGGGUCAUUUUUAUCACUUUCUCACUUGGAAAAAUGAUGAUGGGAUUUUAAUUUUUCUAAAUAAUUGAUAAUUAUUAAUUGCUUUUUAUUACAUGCAAGUCCUCGUUUAUUAAAAGAAAUAAUGAUAAGAUAAAAGUUAUUUCAUAAAAUUAGAACAAUUAUAUGGAUGAAAUCCAAUAAUAAUAAGAAUUAUUACGUAUAAUUAGUAAAAAACACAAAUUUAAACCUAAGAUUUUUUAAUAUAAAAAUAAAAAAUAAUAGUAAGUACUUGUUUAGAAACUAUUUUUAAGAAUAAUUUUUUAUAUUAAAAAAAAAACACAGAAUAGAAAACACGAUAAAUAAAAACUAUUUUCUAUUUUAUAUUCUUAAAAAUAAAAAAUAGAAUGUUUCGAGAGAGACCAUUUUUUAGUUGUUUUAUAUCGUUUUCAUUUUUUUAAGGAUUGUUUUAAUAAAUAAUUAUAUAAAUAUAUAGAAUGAUUAAAAAUAAAAUAUUAGAUUUAAAAACAUUAAAAACAAGUUCAAAAUAUUUUACUUUCUAAACAGACUUUUGCUCUAUACAUAUAAAAAAAAAAUUUUUAAAACUAUUUUUCAAAAUUGUUUUCGAAAAUAAUUAUCAAAUAUUCCAUAACUCUUAUAUAAAAUAAAAUAACUCUUUAAAGUUAUGAAAACUUAAAAUAUUAAAAAAAUUUACUUUGUUAAAUUUAAAAAAUAAAUUUUAAUAUGAUUCAUCGAAUACUUUUAAUAUAAGAAUUAUUAUAUUUUAUAUAGAAGGAAAUAUGUCUAGACUAACACUUAAAUAAUUAAAUAUUAAACCGCUUCCAAAUCAUUAUCGAGAUCAGUAUUGUCAAUUUUCUAAUAAUUAAGACUUAUUACAUACUUAAAACAAAAAUAAAAAAAUAAAAAAAUAAAAAAAUCAAAGGGUGGGGGAAAGAGAUUUACUAGGUGUGGAAGAAAGUGAUCGCAUAUGCCAAGCCACUUGUGAAUGAAAUGUGAAUAUUUUCUAUUCACCUUGUCAUAUGAUAUAAGUCAUAACCACCAUCAAAUCAUGCAGAUUCCCUUUAUCAAAAAGGAUACGAGCAGAGUGCAGAUUCCACUCCAAAGAAAAAUGUGGUGAUAUAUGGGCUUCAUCAUUGUCCCAUGAUGCAUUUACAAAAAAUAAUCAAACUUCUUUAAUGAUUCUUCCAAUUAGAUCCAAAUGAUGGAAUUUUUUCUUUCAUCUUUGUGUUUGAUUACAAAAUUCAUAGAUUUAGAAAAAUGGUUUUGAUUGAUUUUAGGGAUUUCAAGUCAACAAUUUGUUUUGAAAUUAAUAAUUAAAAUUUUCAAAUUUUAUUUCCUUUUAUAGCAUGGACUUAAUUUAGAGGUUCUCAUUUGUAUUUAUUUUGAUAAAGUAAUUGUCUAGACAUCUUUGAAUUUUAGGAAAAAUAUUUGAUGCGUAUUCCAUUUCUUUUGAUUGAUAGUAGAUUUAUUCAUUAGAAUUCAUAUCGUUAUUUUGUUUUUGUUUUUGUUGUUCUUUUUUCGGGUUCUGAUACACUUCCUAUAAAGAAAUAAAGUAUAAGGAUUUAUUUUAUAACUGUUUUCGAAAACAGUUUUCUAUUCUUUAAAAUAAAAAGAAAAAAAAACACGUUUGACAACAAAUAAUUAUUUUCUGUUUUUAGAUAAUAUUUUUUAAUUAUUCUAUAUCAUUUUCAUUUAUUUUAUGAAGGUUGUUUUAAAAAAUAAUUACAUAAACAUGUAAAAUAAUUAAAAUAUAUUAAAAACAUAUUAAAAACAUUUUACGUUUUCAAAUAAACUUUUGUUUUACAAAAAUUAGAAAACAGUAUUUAAAAACUGUUUUUCAAAAUUGUUUUUGAAAAUGAUUACCAAACGGGCCGUAAAAAAUUUCUAUAUUAUAAAAUAAUUAUUUUACUUAUUAUUGAAAAAGAAAAAAAAAGGGUGAAGAGCUAUUAUUAUUAUUCAUCUUCUAGUGUAUACCCAUUGUGCCAAAAAUAAAUUUAGGGGAUGUAAUAAACUAAUAAAUUAAUGUCAAAGGGGAGAAGGGACAAAAGUUUCUAAAAAUAGGAAAAGAGAGAGGGAUUAAGAAAAUGGUUAGAUGGAAAAGGGAAAAACACAUGGGCACACUAAAGAGUGAAGGGAUGAUGAUGAUGAUGAUUGAUGAUGAUGAUGAUGCAUGCAUGCAUGGUGAUUAAGGUUAUAAUGUUAUGACAAGUAUUUGUUGAAAAAAGUUAUAAGUAGACAAAAGGUUUACUCAACAUGGCUGCCAUGUGAAUCUACACUUACAUCAUGUGUCUUCCAUGUGGUUUAAUCCCUUUCUUUAUCUCGCACUUGCUGACCAACUCAUCCCCCUCCCUUCUUUUUCCCCACCUUUCUUUUUUUCUUGAAUAUUUAUUUUUUAUUUUUUAUUUUCUUUGGCUUUUUGUUUUUUAAUCAGAUUAGUAGAGGAUUAGGAGAUGAUAGGCAACUUUAUUGUCUCAACAUCUUGAUAAUUGGAGAUUACGUUCUUCUUUCUACUUUCUCCUCUUUUGCUUUUCCUUUUGUAUAUAUAUAUAUAUAUAUAUAUUUUGUUCAAAUACUUAAUGAGUUACGUCACGUUUUAAAUAAUUUUUUAUUUUUCACUUUAAUUGAUGAGUUUAAAAAAAUAACAUUAAUAUUAUAAAAGUUUUAAUGAAAAUAUUACUCAAAUUUACUAUGUAGGUAUUUUCACUAUGAAUCUUUUAGUUUUUCAAAACUUUAAAAAGCGUCCAUAAAAUUAUUAAUAUAUAUAGAAUUAGAAAUUUUCACCUUUAUUUAAUAUGAGAUAUUACAAUCAUCUCCCAUUUAAACAUCUUUGUUGUCUUCCAUGGAUUGCGAGGCCAAACUCAACCAUUUAGGACAUCAAGGUCGGGACCAAACUCAACCAUAUGGGAUGUUGGGGCCAAAUUUAAUUAUAUGGGACAUCAAGAUCGAGAUUAGUUCUGAUACAAUUUGUAAUAACCUAUACUUAAUUAUGUGAUUAUUGUCCACUCUAUAUAUAAAUGGACCCUUAUGAUUUUAAAACGCAUUUACGAGAUUAAAAAUGAUAUAUAUAUAUAUAAUGUUAGAAAUUUUAUUCCUUAUUUGAUGUGAAACGUUAUAGAAAUAGCUAAAAAAUAAGUACAAAUUUUUUAUUCAACCUUAGAAAAAUCGUUUUUGCCUCCUCGAAAGCACUUGCAUCAUAAAAAUUAAAUAUUUGAUAAAAUUUUAAAAAUCAUCUUUAAAAAUCUAAAAAUUAUUAAAAGUAACCGUUUGAAUUAUCGUUGCGACCAUGUUUCUUAAAAAAAGAAAAUAUUAAGAUAUUUAUUUGAAUUAUAUCCAAAAAAUAAUUUACUCAUUGUAAAAUUAUUUUCGACAAAAGCACUUCAUGUUAAAAACAUUUUAACGGCAUCACUCCCAAAUCGGGUGAGAAAAUUUGUUAUAGAAGUUAAUCGAAUCAAUGAUUGAAUUACUCUUAAAUUCAACAACAACGAUCAUAGAUAGGGGGAUGGGGGAUCAAUUGAAUUGAUUUUUGGUGCAGAUGAAAGUCUUGAAAGUGACCCAUCAACAAGGUUUAAAAUAAGCUUAAAUUGAACCCGUACGCUUUGAUUAUUCAUUACAAUAAUUAUUAUUAUUACUACUUUUGCUUAUAGCUGUAAUGUUUUUAUCUCUAAACUAAUCCCAAUGACAGACACUGACAGUAGGAGGAAGCAAUUUAAUAAUCAUCAAAAUGAUUAAAAUCCCCAUUAUUAUAUUUAAUUAAUUUAAUUUAAAUUUUUCAAGGCACCAGCCGUUAUUCUCUCCCCACAUUCUAGUCUAUAACGUCUCACCAUGUUCUCCAUGACUUUCCUUAAAUGUCCUUGCAUUCAUGGAUUCCUAAUUAAAAUUAUGAGGUUAAAAUGGUAAAACUUGGAGGAGCGUAAGCCACAAGUUGUCAUAGCCAUGUGCCCAGAUCCCAUGAUUAUCAUUACGGAUCUCACCUGGGGGCUGCCUUGGUAAAAUGCAUCUCAGAUGCUUCUUUGAAAUUGAAAAUUCCAAAGCAUGUGAUCCCCCUUUCUCAAACGUUUUUAUUCAUUAAUUUUAUUAAAAUAAUUUAUUAGAUUAUAUUGCUUUUUGUAAAAGUUUUUGUUAUCGUAUGUGAUUACCAAGGAGAUAAUCGGAGAUUUUAAAAUGGGACAAUUUUAAAAAUAUUUUCAAGAGGAAUCAAAGCAACAAAUUGUUUCAGUAUUUAAAAUCAAAUUAAUUUUUAAAAAAAUAUUUUUUUAUUGAUUUGCUACAACUUUCCCAUCAUUCCUCAAAAUCCGCUAUUUUGAAAAAAAUAAGGUAAAGACUUUUUUCUUGUUACCUUGAAGGUUACUAUUUCGAAAGGAAUGGAGUAUGAACUUCGUUCUUUGACUGAUAGACUUGAUUAUCCCUAAAUAGUCAUUCCCUUAUGGAGCCACUGUUGGGAAAUAGUUUUUGAACUAUUUGUAUGUCGGCUUUUUUUUUUUAUUUUUUUUAUUUAAAGUAAUUUAUUAUUUUUUUCAGAAACCCUACCUGAACCAUGACAACCCAAAGGGGGCAAGUGUACAAGGGGCUGUCACUAUUGAUGGGGAGGGGGGUCAUAGUGGCCCAAAGAAGCACUCAAAAGCCCAAAUUGAACAGUGUCCAAGAAGAGGGUGGAGGCCCCCAUGUGCCACAAAUGACAACCUACAAUGGUGGGUGGGAGAGAGAGAGAGAGAAAGAGAAGGAAAAAAAAGAGAGUAGUAAC
This 48057-nucleotide long non-coding RNA is filed under the name Vitis vinifera (wine grape). RNAcentral describes it as "long non-coding RNA (VVIN_LNC006177)". The record is from RNAcentral. Lineage: Eukaryota; Viridiplantae; Streptophyta; Magnoliopsida; Vitales; Vitaceae.